AAGUUUUUUGUUUAACUGUAUAUUUAUUAUAUCAACUGUCUAAAAACCAUUUAACAAAUUAAAAUGAUGAUGUUUAUGGAUGUUUGAUAUUUUGAAUGGGCAGGUGGGGAAACCAAGUAUGUGUUACACAAAAUUGAAUCAAUUGAUGAGGCAAACUUGGGAUAUAACUACAGCAUAGUUGGGGGAGUUGGGUUGCCAGACACAGUAGAGAAGAUAUCUAUUGAAACCAAAUUAUUUGAAGGACCCAAUGGAGGANNNNNNNNNNNNNNNNNNNNNNNNNNNNNNNNNNNNNNNNNNNNNNNNNNNNNNNNNNNNNNNNNNNNNNNNNNNNNNNNNNNNNNNNNNNNNNNNNNNNCCAAUGAAGAAGAGGGAAAGGCUGCCAAGGCAAGAGGUGAUGCUUUUUUCAAGGCCAUUGAGAGUUACCUUUCUGCCCAUCCUGAGUACAACUAAAUUGAAUUCUAUUAGUGAAGAAGAGUUUCCUUAUAUAAAGUUUUCUUCCAUGUUAUCCGGUUUGUGCUUUUAAGUUUGCCUCUUAUGUAAUGAUUAAUAAGUGCUCUUCUAUUCUCUUUCCUUUUUCUACAAAAGUGUGAGAUUAUGUGAGUUUGUAUUUCAUUUCAUCAAUAAAUCAAUACAAAAAAAUUACAAGCACCUUCGUAAUCAUGAUGGUUAAAAUCGAAAUUUUACUUAAGAUUGGGAUGGAGUCAAAUAUCAUAAAUGUAUGAUCAUAACAUGAUUCAUAAGAUUUUAUUAUUAAUAUAUACAUAUAAACUCAUAUAGUAAAAAAUCUCAUAUUACAACCCAAACCUUAUUUUUUGAUAUACUUGCUUAAUAGGAUAAAUUAGUAAAAUGACCACUAUUUUAAAGAAUAAAACUACAAUUUUAAAAAAGCUCAUAUAACAACCCAAUUUNNNNNNNNNNNNNNNNNNNNNNNNNNNNNNNNNNNNNNNNNNNNNNNNNNNNNNNNNNNNNNNNNNNNNNNNNNNNNNNNNNNNNNNNNNNNNNNNNNNNUGAAAUAAUCAUUAUUUUAAAGAAUAAAACUAAGAUGGUAAAAAAGCCCAUAUUAGAGUACAUUCCUAAAUAACCCACAUUUUAAAGAAUAAAAAGAUUGCAAAAUACACAUUAUUACAUACAACCCAAACCUUAUUUUUCCUAGGGUUGCCAAUUACGGUUCCUAACUUUUCCCUCCGGUCGUUUUCAUUCCUCCUUUCAUUUCAAACAUGUCAUGGUAGCUAUAUGUUGGAUCUCAUGAUGAGAAGAAGAAGGUUCGAUGUUUUUUUGCUCCAUGUUUCUAUCUUUCUACUUCAUUUAUGCAUCUUAUGAAUUAGUAAAAGAAGUUUGUUGGAUUGAGAGGGAGGAAGAUGGAAAAAGCUGGAAGAGAAGAUUGAGUAUAAGAUCGAUGGGAUCAUGAAUUCAAUUGAUCCCACUUUCCAACAUGGUGAUCUCACACGAUCUCGGGGAAACAUGCCCAAAACUGAGAUAGGUUUAUUCCAUGUAAUAUAAUUUUCUUCCAUGUUAUAUCUAGUUUGUGUUUUUAUGUUUGCUUUCUAUGUAAUGAUCAAUAAGUGCUCUUCUCUUUCCUUUGUCACAUUCCAUGUGUUUGUAUCUCAUUUCAUCAAUAAAUUAAUAAGAAAAUUACAAACAUCAUCUCACUGGUUAAAAGAUUUUAAAUUUUAUUUCAUAUAAGGAAAAUCAAAUUUAAGCUAGACAUGAAGAAACAUGAAUACUUGAAUAUUGGAGUUUUUAUNNNNNNNNNNNNNNNNNNNNNNNNNNNNNNNNNNNNNNNNNNNNNNNNNNNNNNNNNNNNNNNNNNNNNNNNNNNNNNNNNNNNNNNNNNNNNNNNNNNNCAUAAUUUAGUAAGAGAUUUAAGAGUAAAAUGGUAAAUACAUGCAUUUAUUUGAAUGUAAAAUCUUAGAGAUUAAAAAAACUGUCGAAAAUAAAAAGAUCUAUAACUAGCCUUUAGACGUGGGAUGGAAUUUUGUGAUUUCUAAUUUCAUAAAAGUUAUUUACCGGUCAUAUAAUUACUUGUUUUAAUUUGGUCAUUCAAAUUAAAUAAAAUUCAAUAUUACAUAUUAAUUGUUCUCAAUUUUCUAAUUGACAAGUACUCUAACAUGAGUCACCUCCUAUAUAUAUCAAACUAGCAAGUGUGCAUUUGUCGGGACAAUAUUUUUUUGCUGCAUGAUUAAAAAACAUAUAUUACAUGUGCAUUCAUAUGAUUAAGAACAUGUAUGUUACUCGUGCAUNNNNNNNNNNNNNNNNNNNNNNNNNNNNNNNNNNNNNNNNNNNNNNNNNNNNNNNNNNNNNNNNNNNNNNNNNNNNNNNNNNNNNNNNNNNNNNNNNNNNAAAUACACAUGUUACAUGUUUAUUCUCAUUCACAUUUUACAUGUUUAUUCGCAUUACUAAUAAAACACAUGUUACUCGUGCAUUCAUAUGUUAAAACACACAUGUUACCGUUAAGAACGCAUUUGUUACAUGUGUAUUUUUCUAUUCAAACACAUAAGAAAAAUAAAUGACAAUUUCAAAUUUGAAUCUUUUAUUGAAAAUAGGAAAUCGAAACAUGAUACUAUAUGAUUUUUUUUAAAUAAAUGUUUUAAAAGUUGUAGAAAUAAAAUGAAUUUUUCAAUAAAAAUAUAGAAAUCAAAUCAUGAUACUAUAUGAGUAUUUUUUAUUAAAAAAAUAUUUAAAAGUUAUAAAAAACUUCAAUUUUGAAUUUGAUUAUUUAACUAUAAUAGAGAAAAAUUAAAAUUUAAAGAAUUUGAACUGUGAUAUUAAAAUUCAGUCGGAAAAGUGUCACAAAGCUUUGAUAUGAUGAAAAAUAUAAUAAUUCUUAGAGUAUUGAUAAAUGUUAAAUAAUAUAUAUAGAUUAAUACAAAUAUUAAAUGAGGUGAAACUGUAUAGAUUUUUUAAUUAAAAUUAAAUAAUUACAUAAGUGAAUGUGAAAUGAUUAUAUUAAGGUUUUGUUACCAAAAUUGUGAUCAUAAGAUUUACAUGCUUGUGCAUCCUACUGUUCUUCCAUCAAGAUUUAUACGAAGUUACACACUUACACCCUCAUGUCGGAGAUGAAGAGGUAAGGAUGAGAUUAAGGAAUAGUGGAAAGACAAAGAGGUAAUAGUAGAACUGAUGAAAUGGAAAAGAGAAAUAGUAUGGAUGUGAAAAAAGAUUUCAAUUCACUCUAAUGUUCGAUGAUCAAUACUUUUUAAGAUAAUAAAACAUAUGGGUCAAUCACUAAUUAGCAUUAAAACAUUAAAAUAUAAAAUGUACAAAAAGUGAGGAUGUAGUAUAAAAAUAUACAUAGUAGUAACAUAUAACCUUUUAGAAGGGAAAAAAGUGAGGAGGAAGUGAUAUAUGACUUGAAUGAGUUUUUUAUUAUAUAGUUAAUAGAUUAUGUUGCAAAAGCUAUAUAUACUAGUACCUGGUCAAAUUUUGUACAAAGUAAUAAUAUAUUGUUUAUUUUGUAUAACAUAUACCAAUAUAUUUACAAAUUACAACAUAUAUAUCAAAAUCAUGGCUCCUGAGUGUACAUCUCGUCCCUUUUGUUGNAGGUUAUGUUGCAAAAGCUAUAUAUACUAGUACCUGGUCAAAUUUUGUACAAAGUAAUAAUAUAUUGUUUAUUUUAUAUAACAUAUACCAAUAUAUUUACAAAUUACAACAUAUAUAUCAAAAUAAUGGCUCCUGAGUGUACAUCUCGUCCCUUUUGUUGACAAUGGGUAGAUAUUGUCCCCAAUAGACAAAUGAAAAGGAUAGGUGGCUAACAACCUCUCUAGUCAGCACCUAUUCACAUACAAGCAGAGAUGCCUACAAAUACAAGGGACUCAUUUGCUCAUAAAUCACACAACAAUCAUUCUAACAUCUUCUUCUUAUAUAUCUUUCCAUUAUUCUUCCUCCUUUUUGCUAAUUAGUUUCUAAGCAUGGGUGUUUUUACAUUUGAGAAUGAAUCCACUUCUACUGUGGCUCCUGCUAGGCUCUACAAAGCUUUGGUAACAGAUGCUGACACCAUCAUCCCAAAAGCUGUUGAAGCCAUCCAAAGUGUUGAAACCGUUGAGGGUAAUGGUGGCCCUGGAACCAUUAAGAAGCUUACUUUGAUUGAGGGUUAGUAUAUUAUAUCUUCUUCAUACAUAAAAUAUAUGGUCAUGGCAUAUCAUUACACAUGAGAAAUUUUAGUUUUCCUUCCGCGUUUGUGAUGCUAUUUUUACCCACGCUAAAUUUUUAUUACAUAAAAGCAAACAUUUAUAGAACAAGAUCUAUGUUUUGUUUAACUGUAUAUUUAUUAUAUCAAUGAAAUCUAUGAAUUACUAAACCAAUUAAGCUGAUGAUGUUUAUGGAUAUGAUAAUCAUAUUGGGCAGGUGGGGAAACCAAGUAUGUGUUACACAAAAUAGAGACAAUUGAUGAGGCCAAUUUGGGAUAUAACUACAGCAUAGUUGGUGGAGUUGGAUUGCCAGAUACAGUGGAGAAGAUAUCAAUUGAGACCAAAUUGGUUGAAGGAGCCAAUGGAGGAUCAAUUGGAAAGGUCACUAUCAAGAUUGAAACCAAAGGAGAUGCUCAACCCAAUGAAGAAGAAGGCAAGGCUGCCAAAGCAAGAGGAGAUGCUUUUUUCAAGGCCAUUGAGAGUUACCUUUCAGCCAAUCCUGAUUACAACUAAACUCAACUCUAUUAUUGAAGAAGAGCUCCCUUAUAUAAUGUUUUCUUCCAUGUUAUCCGGUUUGUGCUUUUAAGUUUGAUUCAUAUGUAAUGAGUAAUAAGUGUUCUUCUCUUCUCUUUCCCUUUUUUGCAAAAGUGUGAAAUUCCAUGAGCUUGUAUUUCACUUCUUCAAUAAAUUAAUACAAAAGAAAUUAAAAGCACCAUCUUAGCAUAAAUAUGAUUAUUUGAAAGAUUUAUAUAUUUUAUUGCAUAUAUCUAAAAUUAUGUUUAAACUGGACAUGAAGAAAUAUGAAUUCUUGAAAGUUUAAGUUUUUAUUUUUAUUUUUUUAUAAGAUAAACGUGAAAAUAAUUGCAAUAUAAAAAGACUUAAUGUUAUUUAAUUUGGAAGUACUGAACUAGUUUGUUGUAUACAUUAAUAUAUACAAGAACAUAGAGCUACACUCACAUACUCAAAAACAUUUUUAUACGUCAAAAGGACAUGAGAGAAUUAUAUCUUGUAUUCAAAAGUAGUAAGAAUAUUUUUCUACAAUAGAUUUUAACAGGGUGGAAAUAAGAAGGAAAGAAGACUUAAUUAAUGGAUAUCGAUGCUAUAAGAAAACUUCAUACCAAUUAAUCUUUUAUCCUAUCCCACCAUUGUUUUUAUACAGGGUAUUAUUAAAUUUGGACUAAUCAAUGACUUGAUUAGGGAAUUAAGUCAAUUAGUUAUUGGUUGGACCAUCAAAUCAUUUGGACAUGUUGACUUAGUUUUCUUAAAAAAACUAAAAUAUCAUAAUAAUAGUUAACAUUAUUUAAUAACUAUAUACCCAAAAUAUAAAAAACAUUAUUAUAACUAUUAAAUAGUUAACAAAGAAGAUUUUACUAUUACGAAAUGCUCAAAUAAGUUGGAAAUGUCCUGAAAAAAAAUGUGUUAUGCUUUUUUUUGGGGUCCAAAUGUGUGUUUUGCUUUUUUUUGGAGUGCAAAUGUGUGCUAUGCUUUAAUAUAACAAAAGUGGACAAUAAGUAUAAAUUUAAUUAAACAAUCAAAGUUUUGCUAACACAUAAGUCAUUAAAUGACAACCAUAAUUAUAAAUAAGUUUAAAAUAUUUGAUCUUUUUUCAUCUCAGUACAACAUAGUUUUGAUUGUUUUUUAAUUUUUUUUUAUUGAUUUGUUCGAUUCAACCAGUCCGACCAUCUAAACUUAUUUUAGGCUUAAAUCGUCCGAGUCGAACUGAGUCAAUCCGAUUUUUAUUCAAAACCAGUUAUAAAAGAGACUUGGACUGGUUAGAUGUUCAUUUCAUGGUUGAACUAGUCGAACUAACUGAUCAAAGCCGAAUUUUAUAACUCUUUUUAUAUCAAUGAAUGUUUCACUAAGUAUUUGUUUAAUAUACAUGAAACUAUGUAGUUUUUGUUUAUUUUAAAAAAAUAUGUUUAAAUUGUGACAUACCUNUUAUUCCAACCCUUAUCGAAGGCUAUGCCCACAUCAAGAAUGGCAGAACUUAGCUCGGCAUAGAUAGCCAAUUGAAUACCAAUGAAAGAGUUAAAACUCUCCAUGAACUUAGCUCGGCUUUGUAGUUUUUGUUUAUUUUAAAAAAAUAUGUUUAAAUUGUGACAUACCUAAAUUAUAAACUCAAUUUAAUUUUUUAUAGAAUGUCGCGCCCCGAUUUUCGGCUGCACAACCUCAUUAGAGUCGCCACUACAUUUUUUUCUUCAGUCAAAAAAUGUAGAAAAAUAUUUUGGCCCAAUCACAUUGGGCCUUGGACUUUGAUAUCCAGGUUCGGGAGUUGAUUACACACUAGGGAAGGUAUUAGCAUCCUAGUUGCCCGUUUGAACGGUACCCUAUUAUAUUGCAUGGAUUAUUGAUUGUGUUAUUAUUAUUUUAUUUAAUUAUAUUAUUAAUUAAUUAAUUAUUAUGAAGAAAAAAAUUUGUUUUUAUUAUUGUGCCUGACAAGAAUGACCCCGGUCCUACGUAUCCCUAUUAAGGGAAUCAAGGCUUACGUAGUUCUUUUGGUAGAAAAAAUUUAUUUGUUGGGUUGAUUUUAUUUCUUAGAAAAAUUAAAAAUUAAAAAAUUAUUUUUUAAAAUGAGUGAAGCAUAGCUCUUAUGUCCAAUACCGCAUCUCAUAUUAAAACUUAGUUAAGAAAUUACAUUUUUUAUAUUAAAAAAACUGUUUUUAAAUAUGAGUGAAGCAUAGCCCUUACGUCCGAUACUGCAUGUCAUAUCUUAAAAUUGUGGAAAUAUGGUUUCAAUAUUUUUUACAAAUACAAUAAUUAUAUGACAUAUCAUUAUCAAAUUUAUUACACAUGUAGAUGAAACAGAGCAUAGGUGAUGAACAAAAAAAAAUAGAUGUAAGAAAUUGGACUUACUUGGACACAUGAAUCAACAUCUUUUAAUUGAGAAUAAAGACUCACAGUCAGAGAGAAUGUUUAGACCAACUCAACACGUCCAUGUAUGCAUUGGGCCUGUGNNNNNNNNNNNNNNNNNNNNNNNNNNNNNNNNNNNNNNNNNNNNNNNNNNNNNNNNNNNNNNNNNNNNNNNNNNNNNNNNNNNNNNNNNNNNNNNNNNNNUUUAAAAAACAUUUUUAUAUGUGAAAAAGACUUAAAAAAACAAUUAUGUCUUGUAUUUAAAAGUAGUAUGUAAAAUUUUAAAGUAAGGGGAUCCACUUUCUCCAAGAGUAAGUUUUUUAAAUUUAUUCCACAUUCUAGCAAUCAAUUUUAGGGAAAUCCAAUGGUUUAAAUUAGUAAGUAUAUAUAAACCAUUAUAUUUCCCUAGAAUUGAUAGCUAGAAUGAGAAGUAUGUUUAAAAAACUUACUCGUGAAGGCUCACUCAAUUUUAAAUAGUUUUAGUGCAUUUAAUGUUUGAUAGCUAAGAACUCUAUAAGUUUAUUUUAGAAUAUCUAAAAUAUAAUGAGAAAAAGAUAUAUACACGAGUUUUUUAUGGUGACAAUUUAUCAAUCAUUUAUAUUCAAUAACAUUAUUGACUUUUAAAUAUAAGUAAUACAAAUGAGUAAUGAAUAAUAUAUUAUUUGUGUAUAAACUUUUAUAUUCAUGGUAAGAGUAUAUAGAUAGAGAAAAAGACGUAUACACUAACAAUGUAAGACUUUUUUUUACAUUAUCAUUACAUCAUCCACCGUUCAUUUUUAAUCAUCAUUUGCUUUUAAACAAAAGUAAUACAAAUGAAUUGUGGGGGACGCACUGACUAUGUAUAAAUCUUUACACUAUCAGUACAUAAAUAUUACACUGAUAUAAAUAUUACAUUCCUAUAUUAUUCAUAUCACAUUUAUAUGGGUUCGUUUUGUGGCAUACAGUUCCUCACUAUUCAUCAAAUUAUACGACCCUGUAAUAAUGAAUUGUUACGCUGAAUUCAGCUUCUGAUGACAACCUCAAGGGGGCUAUCUUAGAAUUAGGAUCGCUUUAUCUUGAAGUCUUGAGCUUUUUAAGUUGUAAUUCGAUUUUGGUGAAUUAUGGGGAAUUUGGGGUUGUUUUGAUAAGGAAGAAGGUGGAAAAGGAAUGAGAUGGAAGACGCCACAAGCAUGGAAGCUUGAUAAGUCAAGUGUUGCUUGCCACAAGCUUAGAAAGCUUGAUAAAAGCUCAUCAAUGGCCACGACCAAUGGCUAGGGUUUAGAAGAACUCUCAACUAAAUAAAACACAAGGUUUAACUUAAAAAUCAACAUGCUUCAUUAAUGAUAAUUCAAUUACAUGAAUAGGCAAUAUGAAUGUCUUGGGCUAAAAUAAAAGACUAAGUCCUAAUUAACUUGCAUAAUGAAAAAUCCUAAUUAAAACAUAGGCUAAAAAUAGAAAUGAAAUAAUAAUAUAACGCCAAAUUAAAUCAUGUAAAUGGUUGAAUUGUGGUGGAUUGCUCCUAUUUUUAAGGGAUUUGAAUCUGAUCCAAUUUUAGUUGAUAGGAAAUAGAUUAUCUCCUCAACAAACCAUAUUGAAGAUAUCUUCCCCUUUUUAGCUUUGAUUUAUCCCUUUUGAUAGGAAAUAGAUUAUCUCCUCAACUUGGCUUUUGCCUCACUUUCCUUCUUUUCUUCUUCAACCUUAGCCCUUAGUCUCUUUUGCUCCUCAUUGACUUGUUUAGGGCUCAGAGGGGCUAACGCUACCAUGUGACCAUGGUGUAUAAAUGAGACUUUGUUCAACUAUAUAUAUAUAUUUAUUAGAAAAUAUCAUAACUAACAAACUUUUUAUAUAACAAGAUCUAAGUUUUGUUUAACUAUAUAUUUAUUAUAUCAACAAAAUCUACAAACCAUUUAACCAAUUCAGGUGAUGAUGUUUAUGAAUGAUUGAUAAUCUUCUUGGGCAGGUGGAGAAAUCAAGUAUGUGUUACACAAAAUAGAAUCAAUUGAUGAGGCAAACUUGGGAUAUAACUACAGCAUAGUUGGGGGAGUUGGGUUUCCAGACACAGUAGAGAAGAUAUCUAUUGAAACCAAAUUUUUUGAAGGACCCAAUGGAGGAUCAAUUGGAAAGGUGACUACUAACAUUCUAACCAAAGGAGAUGCUCAACCCAAGGAAGAAGAGGGCAAGGCUGCCAAGGCAAGAGUAGAGAUGGCAAUAAAAACUGAACCCGUGGGUACCCGUCCGAACCCAACCCGAAUUUAACGGGGAAAACCCAUUGUGAUUGGGUUCGGGUUUGGGUAAAACCCGAUCCCAAUUUUCGGGUUCGGGUUCGGGUUUGGUACAACUAAUACCCUACUCCGAACUUGCCCCAAACCCGUUAGAUAUAAUACUAGGCAUACCUAAAGUCCUAAAUUAGAAAUAGAAAUAGUCAAAUAGUAGCCUGCGUGAACACCCAAAGUCUGAAACGUAAAGUCACAUUCUCUUCUCCAGCAAGGUGGCAUGCAUAGUGGCAAUCCUCAAGGUGAUUAGGUGAGUCUUUCGUGUUCAUCUUCUUUCAUUAAGUUGAAUGUUUGUGGCCCUAACUCUGAAAGUGUUGGUGAGGUGCUAAUUUCUCCAAUGGCUUCUCGUUACAGAUCUGUUUCACGGCCAGCUUUCUCUCUCAUUAAAUCCACCUUCACUAAACCCUGGAGUUUGAUAUCUUCAAUAACUUUUUGUUGUUUCUUAUCUGUAAGAAAUUUUUGCUCUUCAUGUAUAUCAUUAUAUGUUCUGUUUUACUCUUAUAUUUUGUGUCAAUCCCAUAAAUACUCAUAGCUUUGAAUGUAAAUAGCAUCUUAUCUCAUGGUUCUUCAGAAUUUUGCUUUCGGAAAAUCGGAAUCCGUUUUCAAAAUUGAAUUUUGGUAGUAGAAACAAACAAUAUGGUUUGGGGUUUGGAAAUCCUAUGCUAGCUGGUUAGUUUUUUUAUUCUCUAGCCUGGAAAAACACUGUAUUUUGUUUGUUAGUGGUUUAGGACUUUAGGUUAAGGUAAACAUUGUAAGCUUUUAUUUAUGUAAUCAAGGAGAGUUCUAUGCUGCAAUUGGAAUUUUAUUUAUUGUCAAUGCUCUAUGCUUUCGAGUUUAAGUUAUUCUGGAAGUCUCAGCUAUAUCUACCUGUGAAAUUGUAAUGCGUAAUGAAUUCAGUGAUUAAAUAUAUGUUUGCUAAUAUAUGUAAAUAUGUUUUUUUCUUCUAAUUGUUUUAUUAUUUAUCCAAUUAGGGAGAAUGAAUAUAGUAAACAGAACAUAUAUGGAUGUGGCUGGUAACCAACAUGCUUCACAAGGAAGUUUACAACAAGUAAAUGUGGAAGGCACUUCUAAUACUACACCUGAACAAUCUCAUAUUGGACAAGAUGAUAAUAUAGAAUCAACAACACAACCUACAUCAAAGAGACAUAGAAGUGUGGUGUGGGAGCAUUUUGAAAAGAUUAAANNNNNNNNNNNNNNNNNNNNNNNNNNNNNNNNNNNNNNNNNNNNNNNNNNNNNNNNNNNNNNNNNNNNNNNNNNNNNNNNNNNNNNNNNNNNNNNNNNNNCCACUUUGUAUGCACCAAAAAGCAUUUCAUAAGCCAAUUGAUCAAUAAGUUCCAUAGAAACAGUCCAUAACAGGAAGGUGUCGUAAUAAACGCUUUCUGGGCAUCCCUCUCAUUGAUCUCGAAUGCAAUCCAGGGGUUGUCAGAGAUUGCCUAGUUUGGCCUGUGAGAACUGUCCGAUCCAACAGGGUACCUCCCCAGGAAUACAAGGGACUCGUCUCACCCAGACUCUCCCUCAAGACAUUGUUGGCGAAUCACCGUCCAAUCAGUGCCGUCCCUGCUUACUUCACGGUGCUCUAAGUCAUACCGUCAAUUUCCUCUCCACUACUCCAUUAUUAACCAUAUGCAUAUGAACACUAACCGCAGUUAGGUGAUUAAAUCUUUUAAUCAUAUUUACCAUGCUCGGCCCACCUUAAGUCAUCUCCCUCAGGAAUGCUUCUUGUGGGUCCCGAUCUUACGUUAACACGUAAUAUAAAGGAAAUACAUCCCACCACUACGACCAUCACUGAAUACCCUGGACGGUCCCAGACCAAGCCUCUUACGGUCAGCCGAUCUCGCUACGUGGUAUCCUGGGUUCCUUUCUGGGCAGCGCCCUAAAUCACAUCAUAACCAAAAGGGUAACGUCCCUACCACUACGACCAUCGCUGAAUCACCCUGGACGGUCCCAGACCAAGCCACUUACGGUCAGACGAUCUCGCUCCGUGGUAUCACGUAUCCUUUUCUGGGCAUCGCCCUAAAUCAUAUAUCCUUCUCGGAUUUCUUUCUUUAAAAUAAAUUUCUGAAUUUGACUAUUUAAUUCCAACACCUUCAAUACUUUACUUUUUAUUUCAAUUACGGCGUUAUACUAAAGUAGUUUAUAUCACAUACCCUUACUAGGGUUAUUACAUACUCAACCAAUCAAUCCCAAUAGUCAAACACAUUUACUGUCUCUCGCCCAAGCGAGGACCCUUCGCUCAAGCGAAAAUUCAAUCAACAAUACCAUUUUAAAACUGGGCAUCUCUCGCUCAAGCGAGGACAAGUCGCCCAAGCGACAAUUCAUCUUUAAAUCUCAAUUAGACUGAACCUUUCCUCAUCUAGGCGAAAGUAUUAUCGCCCAAGCGAGAGGGUUCCAGAAACUCAUUAAAAUUCUGGAAUUUUUUUAUUUUUUUAUUUUUUCGCCCAAUCGAGUUUUUGCUGGCCCGGGCGGACUUUCGGUCGCCCGGGCUCACCCCGGCGACGCCUCGUUCGCCCAGGCGAAAAUCCUGAAAUUUUUUUUUUUCGCCCAAUCGGGUUUUUGCUCGCCCGGGCGGACGUUCGGUCGCCCCAGCGACGCCUGAUUCGCCCAGACUACUGGGAUCUGGCUCGCCCCGACGACGCCCUGGUCGCCCGAGCUCGCCCUGAUGACUCCUGGUUCGCCCAGACUACUGGAAUUUGGACAGAAUGCUAAUUUUUGUCAUUUUCAACAAUCAAGACACAUUCAAACAUGGUUUUUCAACCACCUGCACUCAGAAAAUUUCACAACAACAUUCAUAUACAAUAUUCAACACAUUUCAUCAACAAUCACAUAUAUUCAAAAGCAUUCAAACAUAAAAAUCUUGGGUUUCUUAAACCCAAGUUAACUCCAAAACCUUUGAGAUGGUUUAGGAGAUCCGGGUGUCAUAUUCGGACACCACUAUGUCACGAUGUGUUCUCUCUCACCUUAAUGAAGCGUGCUUUACGAAAUCCCUAUGGUUCGGUUGGGUUGCAAGGUUCAAAUGCCGGAAAUCUUCGUAACUACCAUAAUAAAACUCGUUAGUUUCCGAUAUUUCUAAAAUCGUUACCAAAAUACUUAAAACUCCAUAUUCCGAUUUAAAACAUUCUUUGAUAAUCUUACCACUUUAAAGUAAGUUAUACAAAGUAUCAUUUAAGAGUUUCAUGAGACCUUCAUGUACUCAUAAACCUCAACAUCCUUUUUAACAAAGAUUUCUAUUUUUCCAACUUGAUUCAAGCCAUGUUUUAAGGCUAAAAACAAAUAGAAAUACAUACAUUCUCAUUUUUAUAAAACACUUCCUAAAGGUUCCUUUGAUUUUAUCAUCAUCCCCUUUGGCUAAAACAACAAAAGUAUGUAAUACAACAUUAUAACAACUCUAUGAACACAAGUUGUUCAUGUUUUCAACAAAAUAUUUUUGUGAGUUCAAGAACCACAUCAUUUUCGGUUUUGAAGAGAAAAUGAGUUAUAAAGCGUUUUAGAAAAUUUCAACGGUUGAAUAUGUUCUUGACAUACUCAUGAACGACAUACUUAAAUCUCAUCAACAUCCAUUGGUUGAAUGUUGAGAGAUCAAGGAUUGAAGAUGGAAGAAGACUUGAGAAAAAUGAGAGAAAAAUGGAGAGAGUUACCUUCUCUUUGAAAAUGCAAAAGUGAGUGAGUGAAGUGUGGAGUGUGAGGGUUUAAGGAGAGAGGGAAAUCAGAUUUUCCCUAGGCAAUAAUGACAAAAUCUUCUAGGGUGGCUAAUGAGAUCAUGAGAUAUUUGAGAAAGUGAUGGGAAAUUUGCUUUAUGGAAGUCAAAUCUCUCAUUCCAAUGUGAAAUGAUCACCUUGCGGACACGCGUGAUAACCAUGUCCAAGUAUUAUCAGCCAAUACUCGAUCGGGUAUUUUAAAUCGCCCGAUCCUAAUAUCCGAUUAGAAUUUCGGAUUUCGGAAUUCCGAGUGAAAAAUAUUUAGAAAAUAGGUAUGAGUGUAUUCAGGGUCUAUACUGACUCAAAAUUAAAUUACGAAUCCAACAGCGGGAUCAGAAUUCGAUUCCGAGUUACGGAACUCAAAAAGACACGUUUGAGCCGUACCAGGCGGAUUUCGGCCCCGACAGGGGUCCAGAACCGACUGUCUCCAAAAAUUACCAAAAUUGACCAUAAAAUCAGAAAUAAAAUUUCAAGAAUAAAACUCAACUAGAGUUUUGUCUUAUUCUUCACCGAAAAUUCCCAGAAAUUCAUUUUCGAAUAUAUAAUUAAUGAAAAUAUUAGUAAAAUCUUAUAAUUCAAACUCGUAAAAUUUGCGGUGUUACAAUGAGAGUGAUGAACUUUGCAUAUGCUAAUUCAUAUGCUAAUUGCCUAAUUCAUAUGAUAACAGUGAUGCUAAAGUAUGCAUUAUUUAUGGUGACAGUGAUGCUAAAAUGUGUAUAAUACACACUGAUGUUCACUACUUAGUAUUUAUAUAUUUAUUUAUUGUCGGGUUUACCCGUCGGGUUCAGGCUACCCGAAACUCGAUGGGUUUGGGGAUGAUAUUCUUAUUUUCAACCCCGUUGAGUUUGGGUUCGGGUUCAGGUUUUACAUUUCGGGUUCAGGGUUGGGUAAGGGUAAACCCGACCCCGAUCUGCCCCGUUGUCAUUCCUAGGCAAGAGGCACUACGCCAGAAUAGCAAAACAACAGCGCUUAAAAUUGUCAUUUAACAUCGCUUUUGAGGCGCUUUCUAUGUGAGUGCAGUAGUACGUAAGGUUAUAUUUAAUAGUGUGUUUUGAAGUGCUCUAGAAAGUAGACAUUUAACAACGCUCAGUGAAGUAGACACUGUUAAAUGUCUACUUUCUAAAUAAGACAAUAUCUCUUAGAUAUUCUAUCAAACACAUGACAAUCAUGUCCAACUCCACCAUAUUUACAAUAGAUUUGUGAAAUCACCAACGACUCGAGCUACAUUCAACCUUAACAUAUUCCAAUACUAUAAAAUAACAUAUUAGUAAUGAGAUCUUACGCAAAUUGUUCAUUCUUUCUCCUUCGAUGUGCAAGUCCUUACAGAGUGUUCAUGUGUUCCUCAAUGAUUAAUGCAAGCUGCAAAUACAAAUAAAAAAUAUCAUCUCUAAACAAAUUGCAAAAGUUAUAAAAAAAUACUAAAUUAGCAGCAAUUGAUAAAGAAUAUUUACCAUUACACUCAAACCUUGUGUUCUAACUAGUGAACCAUAACCAAAAUCCUAGAACAUCAUAGCUGCAUAACUUCACAACAAAUAAAGACUUGUUAUUUAUGGUGUAAAUGCAAACAUCAAGACAGAAUCAAAAAGAAAUAAAUGAGCUAAAAUAAGAUAAUGAUUUACCUUAUAUGAAGUAUCGUCAUUAACAACGCUUUCUUCCAUAAGAUUUGUUAAAGAUAACACACCUUUAACAUCUCUUAUUGAAGAAGUGUUGUUAAAUAUAGGAAGUAUCGUCUUUAACAGUGAUUUUUUCAAUAAGCAUUGUUAAAGAUAACACACCUUUAACAACGCUUGCUUAAAUAAGCAUGGUUAAAGAUAACACCUUUAACAAUGCUUAUUGAAGAAGUGUUGUUAAAUAUAUGAAGUAUGAUCUUUAACAAAUCUUUCUUCAAUAAGAGCUGUUAAAGAUAACACAUUUAACAUUGCUUUCUUCAAUGAGCGCUAUUAAUUCUUUUCUGCCUUAUAUUUAACAACGUUCAACACAUAAGCGUUGUUAAAUACCAAUUCUGGCAUAGUGAGGUGAUAUUUUUUUCAAGGACAUUGAGAGUUACCUUUCUGUCCAUCCUGAGUACAACUAAAUUGAAUUCUAUCACUGAAGAAGAGCUUCCUUAUAUAAAGUUUCCUUCCAUGUUAUACAUCUUGUGCUUUUAAGUUUGCCUCCUAUGUAAUGAUUAAUGAUUGUUCCUCUAUUCUCUUUCCUUUUUUUAUAUGCAAAAGUGUGAGAUUAUAUGAGUUUGUAUUUCAUUUCAUCAAUAAAUUAAGACAAAAAAAUUACAAGCACCUUCACAAUCAUGACAGUUAAAAUUGAGAUUUUACUUAAGAUUGAGAUGGGUAUGGCGAAAUUAAUGCGAAAGCUUAAAAUGAAUAUUAUGGAUAUUUUUCAUUGAAUUGAUCAAGGUGUGAAAAUCCUUAUUUAUAGUGUAAACUAACUAGCUAACAAACUAAUAAACACAUGUUGUCAAAUAAUUCAACAUGUGUAAAAUGUGUAAAAUGUGGUAGCUUUAUUCUCUAAUAGCCCCCUCAAGCUGGAGGGUAAAUGUCAAUUAACUCCAGCUUGAUCAUUCCAUUUGAUAUCGUGACAAUGUAAUGGAUCGAAAUCUCGAUCCUAACGUGAAUGAAUUUUCUCAAUCACUUGAUCUUGUUGUUGUUGAUCUUAUUGAUCUUGUUAUUGUUGAUCUUGUUGUUGUUGAUCUUAUUGUUGUUGUUGAUCUUGUUGUUGCUGUUGAUCUUGUUGUUAAUCUUAUUAAUCUUGUUGUUGUUGUUGAUCUUGUACAUAUACUCCUUGAUGACACUUCUUUCUUCGACAACUUCCACUUCUCACAAAGUACAAAGGUGGUGCUGGUUUGGCACGAUCCAUAGUAGAGGCCAUAGGAAUAGAACAAGGGAAAAAAAUGUUUGAUAGAGCAUAACAGAGGAUCUUCGGACAAAUCAAAUAGAAAAUUAUUGCACGAAGUAAAAUGAUUCCAAUACUAAUUAAUGCACCUCAUAACAACAAGCUUCCAUUGAGAAAUCAUUGAAACAACUAAUAAUACAUUGUUGAAUCUGCCUAAUGCUUCAAGGGUGUUAAAUGUAGAAAGUAACAAGCCUGACUUCCAUGCACAACAAAUUUCAACUCUGGUGUCCAAACUCCUCUCUACCUCAAAUUCUUCCCCUUUUUCUUCCUUUUUUUAUUUCUUCAAAAACUUCUUCGCUUUAUGUCGAGUUGUUGACAAUGAUUCUUUGUUGAAUCUUGGAAGAUGAAGAUAAUAAUUUUAGAGAAUGUGCAACAUUGACCAAAGACUUCAAGAUGAAGGCUCUGAUACUGUAUGGCGAAAUUGUUGCGAAAGCGUAAAAUGAAUAUUAUGGAUAUUUCUCACUGAAUUGAUCAAGUCAUGAAAGGCCUUAUUUAUAGUGUAAACUAUCUAUCUAACUAACUAGCUAACAAACUAAUAAAUACAUGGUGUAAAACAAUUUAAUUUGUGUAAAAUGAGUAAAAAUGUAAAAAGUGUAAAAUGUGGUAGUUUUGUUCUCCAAUAAUGAGAGUCAUAAAUCAUAAAUGUAUGAUCAUAACACGACUUCUAAGAUCCUAGUGAUUAAUAUAUACUAGGGUUGGCAAUGGGCACAGGUAGUAGAUACCCGCUACCCGUUUCAAAAUAGGAGAGUAUUACCCAUACCCGCCCGUGUGCGGGUAUUCGUGGGUAUUUCUUGGUACCCGUGGGUACAACAGGUACCCGCGAGUUUCCUAUAUUAUAAAUGAAUUUUUAAUUUUUUACUUCUAUUAUGUUUCAAAUGAGAUGAAACUUAAUUAUUUUUAUACAUUUUGUUUGAAUAUUUGGCAAAAAUCCUAAAUUUAUUGGUGUUUUCUUUUUGUGUGAUUUUUUUUUCUCAUUUCNNNNNNNNNNNNNNNNNNNNNNNNNNNNNNNNNNNNNNNNNNNNNNNNNNNNNNNNNNNNNNNNNNNNNNNNNNNNNNNNNNNNNNNNNNNNNNNNNNNNACAAUAUUUUUUUGCUGCAUGAUUAAAAAACAUAUAUUACAUGUGCAUUCAUAUGAUUAAGAACAUGUAUGUUACUCGUGCAUUGACAUGGUUAAAAAUACACAUGUUACAUGUUUAUUCUCAUUCACAUUUUACAUGUUUAUUCGCAUUACUAAUAAAACACAUGUUACUCGUGCAUUCAUAUGUUAAAACACACAUGUUACCGUUAAGAACGCAUUUGUUACAUGUGUAUUUUUCUAUUCAAACACAUAAGAAAAAUAAAUGACAAUUUCAAAUUUGAAUCUUUUAUUGAAAAUAGGAAAUCGAAACAUGAUACUAUAUGAUUUUUUUUAAAUAAAUGUUUUAAAAGUUGUAGAAAUAAAAUGAAUUUGUCAAUUUCGAAUUUGAUUUUUUUAAUAAAAAUAGAGAAAUCAAAUCAUGAUACUAUAUGAGUCUUUUUUAUUAACAAAAUAUUUAAAAGUUAUAAAAAACUGCAAUUUUGAAUUUGAUUAUUUAACUAUAAUAGAGAAAAAUUAAAAUUUAAAGAAUUUGAACUGUGAUAUUAAAAUUCAGUCGGAAAAGUGUCACAAAGCUUUGAUAUGAUGAAAAAUAUAAUAAUUCUUAGAGUAUUGAUAAAUGUUAAAUAAUAUAUAUAGAUUAAUACAAAUAUUAAAUGAGGUGAAACUGUAUAGAUUUUUUAAUUAAAAUUAAAUAAUUACAUAAGUGAAUGUGAAAUGAUUAUAUUAAGGUUUUGUUACCAAAAUUGUGAUCAUAAGAUUUACAUGCUUGUGCAUCCUACUGUUCUUCCAUCAAGAUUUAUACGAAGUUACACACUUACACCCUCAUGUCGGAGAUGAAGAGGUAGGGAUGAGAUUAAGGAAUAGUGGAAAGACAAAGAGGUAAUAGUAGAACUGAUGAAAUGGAAAAGAGAAAUAGUAUGGAUGUGAAAAAAGAUUUCAAUUCACUCUAAUGUUCGAUGAUCAAUACUUUUUAAGAUAAUAAAACAUAUGGGUCAAUCACUAAUUAGCAUUAAAACAUUAAAAUAUAAAAUGUACAAAAAGUGAGGAUGUAGUAUAAAAAUAUACAUAGUAGUAACAUAUAACCUUUUAGAAGGGAAAAAAGUGAGGAGGAAGUGAUAUAUGACUUGAAUGAGUUUUUUAUUAUAUAGUUAAUAGAUUAUGUUGCAAAAGCUAUAUAUACUAGUACCUGGUCAAAUUUUGUACAAAGUAAUAAUAUAUUGUUUAUUUUAUAUAACAUAUACCAAUAUAUUUACAAAUUACAACAUAUAUAUCAAAAUAAUGGCUCCUGAGUGUACAUCUCGUCCCUUUUGUUGACAAUGGGUAGAUAUUGUCCCCAAUAGACAAAUGAAAAGGAUAGGUGGCUAACAACCUCUCUAGUCAGCACCUAUUCACAUACAAGCAGAGAUGCCUACAAAUACAAGGGACUCAUUUGCUCAUAAAUCACACAACAAUCAUUCUAACAUCUUCUUCUUAUAUAUCUUUCCAUUAUUCUUCCUCCUUUUUGCUAAUUAGUUUCUAAGCAUGGGUGUUUUUACAUUUGAGAAUGAAUCCACUUCUACUGUGGCUCCUGCUAGGCUCUACAAAGCUUUGGUAACAGAUGCUGACACCAUCAUCCCAAAAGCUGUUGAAGCCAUCCAAAGUGUUGAAACCGUUGAGGGUAAUGGUGGCCCUGGAACCAUUAAGAAGCUUACUUUGAUUGAGGGUUAGUAUAUUAUAUCUUCUUCAUACAUAAAAUAUAUGGUCAUGGCAUAUCAUUACACAUGAGAAAUUUUAGUUUUCCUUCCGCGUUUGUGAUGCUAUUUUUACCCACGCUAAAUUUUUAUUACAUAAAAGCAAACAUUUAUAGAACAAGAUCUAUGUUUUGUUUAACUGUAUAUUUAUUAUAUCAAUGAAAUCUAUGAAUUACUAAACCAAUUAAGCUGAUGAUGUUUAUGGAUAUGAUAAUCAUAUUGGGCAGGUGGGGAAACCAAGUAUGUGUUACACAAAAUAGAGACAAUUGAUGAGGCCAAUUUGGGAUAUAACUACAGCAUAGUUGGUGGAGUUGGAUUGCCAGAUACAGUGGAGAAGAUAUCAAUUGAGACCAAAUUGGUUGAAGGAGCCAAUGGAGGAUCAAUUGGAAAGGUCACUAUCAAGAUUGAAACCAAAGGAGAUGCUCAACCCAAUGAAGAAGAAGGCAAGGCUGCCAAAGCAAGAGGAGAUGCUUUUUUCAAGGCCAUUGAGAGUUACCUUUCAGCCAAUCCUGAUUACAACUAAACUCAACUCUAUUAUUGAAGAAGAGCUCCCUUAUAUAAUGUUUUCUUCCAUGUUAUCCGGUUUGUGCUUUUAUAAGGCAUCAUUUCAUUAGGGACCAAUGUCCAAAAGAAUGAUGUGUCUAUAUAAUUUGUUGAUACUCAUAACCAACUAGCAUAUAUAUAUAUAUAUAUAUAUAUAUAUNNNNNNNNNNNNNNNNNNNNNNNNNNNNNNNNNNNNNNNNNNNNNNNNNNNNNNNNNNNNNNNNNNNNNNNNNNNNNNNNNNNNNNNNNNNNNNNNNNNNAUAAAUGUUUUAAAAGUUGUAGAAAUAAAAUGAAUUUUUCAAUAAAAAUAUAGAAAUCAAAUCAUGAUACUAUAUGAGUAUUUUUUAUUAAAAAAAUAUUUAAAAGUUAUAAAAAACUUCAAUUUUGAAUUUGAUUAUUUAACUAUAAUAGAGAAAAAUUAAAAUUUAAAGAAUUUGAACUGUGAUAUUAAAAUUCAGUCGGAAAAGUGUCACAAAGCUUUGAUAUGAUGAAAAAUAUAAUAAUUCUUAGAGUAUUGAUAAAUGUUAAAUAAUAUAUAUAGAUUAAUACAAAUAUUAAAUGAGGUGAAACUGUAUAGAUUUUUUAAUUAAAAUUAAAUAAUUACAUAAGUGAAUGUGAAAUGAUUAUAUUAAGGUUUUGUUACCAAAAUUGUGAUCAUAAGAUUUACAUGCUUGUGCAUCCUACUGUUCUUCCAUCAAGAUUUAUACGAAGUUACACACUUACACCCUCAUGUCGGAGAUGAAGAGGUAAGGAUGAGAUUAAGGAAUAGUGGAAAGACAAAGAGGUAAUAGUAGAACUGAUGAAAUGGAAAAGAGAAAUAGUAUGGAUGUGAAAAAAGAUUUCAAUUCACUCUAAUGUUCGAUGAUCAAUACUUUUUAAGAUAAUAAAACAUAUGGGUCAAUCACUAAUUAGCAUUAAAACAUUAAAAUAUAAAAUGUACAAAAAGUGAGGAUGUAGUAUAAAAAUAUACAUAGUAGUAACAUAUAACCUUUUAGAAGGGAAAAAAGUGAGGAGGAAGUGAUAUAUGACUUGAAUGAGUUUUUUAUUAUAUAGUUAAUAGAUUAUGUUGCAAAAGCUAUAUAUACUAGUACCUGGUCAAAUUUUGUACAAAGUAAUAAUAUAUUGUUUAUUUUGUAUAACAUAUACCAAUAUAUUUACAAAUUAUAACAUAUAUAUCAAAAUGAUGGCUCCUGAGUGUGCAUCUCGUCCCUUUUGUUGACAAUGGGUAGAUAUUGUCCCCAAUAGACAAAUGAAAAGGAUAGGUGGCUAACAACCUCUAUAGUCAGCACCUAUCCACAAUGAGGCAUACAAGCAGAGGUGCCUAUAAAUACAAACACUCCAUUGCUCAUAACUCACACAACAACCAUUCCAACAUCUUCCUCUCAUAUAUCUUUGCAUUAUUCUUCCUCCUUUUGCUAAUUAAUUUUCAAGCAUGGGUGUUUUUACCUUUGAGAAUGAAUCCACCUCUACUGUGGCUCCUGCUAGGUUAUACAAAGCUUUGGUAACAGAUGCUGACAUCAUAAUCCCAAAGGCUGUUGAUACCAUCCAAAGUGUUGAAACCGUUGAGGGUAAUGGUGGACCUGGAACCAUCAAGAAACUCACUUUGGUUGAGGGUUAGUAUAUUAUUCCAUAUAUCUUCUUCAUCCAUAAGAUAUAUUAUUAUACGGGAAAAAUUUAGUUUUCUUUUAGUGUUUGAGAUACUGUUUUUAAGCAUUCCAAACUUUUAUUACAAAAAAACAAACGUUUAUAUCAUUAUAGCAUAACUAACAAAUAUUUUAUAUAAGAAGAUCUAAGUUUUGUUUAAAUGUAUAAUUAUUAUAUCAACAAAAUCUACAAACCACUUAACCAAUUAAGGUGAUAAUGUUAAUGGAUGUUUGAUAAUCUUAUUGGACAGAUGGGGAAACCAAGUAUGUGUUACACAAAAUAGAAUCAAUUGAUGAGGCAAACUUGGGAUAUAACUACAGCAUAGUUGGAGGAGUUGGGUUGCCAGACACGGUAGAGAAGAUAUCUAUUGAAACCAAAUUGUUUGAAGGACCCAAUGGAGGAUCAAUUGGAAAGGUUACUAUUAACAUUCAAACCAAAGGAGAUGCUCAACCGAAUGAAGAAGAGGGCAAGGCUGCGAAAGCAAGAGGUGAUGUUUUUUUCAAGGCCAUUGAGAGUUACCUUUCUGCCCAUCCUGAGUACAACUAAAUUGACUUCUAUCACUGAAGAAGAGCUUCCUUUUAUAAAGUUUACUUCCAUGUUAUACAUCUUGUGCUUUUAAGUUUGCCUCCUAUGUAAUGAUUAAUAAGUGCUCUUCUAUUCUCUCUUUUUUAUUAUGCAAAAGUGUGAGAUUAUAUGAGUUUGUAUUUCAUUUCGUCAAUAAAUUAAUACAACAAAAUUACAAGCAUCUUCACAAUCAUGGCAGUUAAAGUCGACAUUUUACUUAAAAUUGGGAUGAGAGUCAAAUAUUAUAAAUGCACGAUCAUAACACGACUUGUAAGAUCAUACUUAUUAAUAAAACUCAUAUAAUAAAAAACUCAUAUUACAACUCAAUCCUUAUUUUUUAUAUUCUUGCAUAAUAGGAUAAAUUAGUAAAAGGACCAAUAUUUUAAAGAAUAAAACUAAAAUUUUAAAAAAGCCCACUUUUUUAUAUGCUAGCUAAAUAAAAUAAAUUAGUGAAAUAAUCAUUAUUUUAAAGACUAAAAUUAUAAUGGCAAAAAACUCAUAUUACAGUCAAUUCCUAAAGAACCCAUAUUUUAAAGAAUAAAAAGAUUGUAAAAAUCACAUAUUACACACAACCCAAACCUUAUUUUUCCUAGGGUUGCCCAUUAUGGUUCCUAACUUUUCCCUUCAGUGAUUUCUGUUCCUCUUUUCAUUUCAAACAUGCCAUGGUUGCUGCUUCCUGGAUCUCACAACGAGAACAAGAAGGUUCAAUAUUUUCUUGCUCCAUAUUCCUAUCUUUAUACUUCUUUCACGCAUCUUAUAAAUCAAUAAAAUAAGUUUGACGGGUUGAGGGAGAAGAGAGAUGGAAAAAGCUAGUGGAGAAGAGUGGAUAUGGGAUCGAUGAGACUGUCGAUGUAAUCAAUCUUACACUCCUACAUGGUGAUCUCACACGAUCUUAAGGAGGCGUGCCCAAAACUGAGAUAUGUUUAUUCCAUGUAAUAUAGUUUUCUUCCAUAUUAUAUUAGUUUGAGUUUUUAUGUUUGCUUCCUAUGUAAUGAUCAAUAAGUGUCGUUCUCUUUCAUUUUUCUCUGAAAUUGUCAUAUUCCAUGAGUUUGUAUCUCAUUUCAUCAAUAAAUUAAUACGAAAAAAUUACAAGCAUUAUCUCAUUAGAAAUGUGAUUGUUUGAAAGAUUUUAUAUUUUAUUACAUAUAUGGCAAACCAAAUUUAAACUAGACAUCAAGAAGUAUGAAUACUUGAGGAUUUGAAGUUUUUAUUUUUCAUAACAUAAACAUGAAAAUAACUACAAGAAGAAGUAAUGUUAUUUGAGAAUACUAAACAAAUUUGUUAUAUAUAUUAAUAUAUACAAGAAGGGAUAGCUAACUCACAUAGUCAUGUUGCCAUAUAAGGAUUUAAGAUGUUUAAAAAACAUUUUUAUAUGUGUAAAAGACUUAAAAAAACAAUUAUGUCUUGUAUUUAAAAGUAGUAUGUAAAAUUUUAAAGUAAGGGGAUCCACUUUCUCCAAGAGUAAGUUUUUUAAAUUUAUUCCACAUUCUAGCCAUCAAUUUUAGGGAAAUCCAAUGGUUUAAAUUAGUGAGUAUAUAUAAACCAUUAGAUUUUCCUAGAAUUGAUAGCUAGAAUGAGAAGUAAGUUUAAAAAACUUACUCGUGAAGCCUCACUCAAUUUUAAAUAGUUUUAGUGCAUUUAAUGUUUGAUAGCUAAGAACUCUAUAAGUUUAUUUUAGAAUAUCUAAAAUAUAAUGAGAAAAAGAUAUAUACACGAGUUUUUUAUGGUGUCAGUUUAUCAAUCAUUUAUAUUCAAUAAUAUUAUUGACUUUUAAAUAUAAUAAUACAAAUGAGUAGUGAAUAAUAUAUUAUUUGUGUAUAAACUUUUAUAUUUCUGGUAAGAGUAUAUAGAUAGAGAAAACGACGUAUAAACUAACAAUGUAAGACUUUUUACAUUGUCAUUACAUCAUCCACCAUUCAUUUUUAAUCAUCAUUUACUUUUAAAUAAAAGUUAUACAAAUGAAUUGUGGGUGAUGCACUGACUAUGUAUAAAUCUUUACACUAUUCAGUGCAUAAAUAUUACACUGAUAUAAAUAUUACAUUCCUACAUUAUUCAUAUCACAUUUAUAUGGGUUCGUUUUGUGGCAUAUAGUUCCUCACUAUUCAUCAAAUUAUAGGACCCUGCAAUAAUGAAUUGCUACGCUGAAUUCGGCUUCGGAUGACAACCUCAAGGGGGCUGCAUUAGAAUUAGGAUCGUUUUAUCUUGAAGUCUUGAGCUUUUUAAGUUGUAAUUCGAAUUUGGUGAAUUAUGGGGAAUUUGGGAUUGUUUUGGUGAGGGAAAUGGCAAAGAUUAGAAGGGGCAAGCGCCGCAAGCAAGAAUGUUUGAUAAGCUAGUGUUAUUUGCCACAAGCUAGGAAGCUUGAUAAGAACUUGUUAAUGGUGGCCACAACCAACCUAGGGUUUUUAGGAUAAGUGCUCUCAACUAAAACAACUUAGAUUUAAUCAAAAUUCAACUUAACUUUAUUAAUGACAAUUCAAUUACAUAAAUAAGCAAUCUGAAUGUCUUGGGCUGAAAUAAAAGACUAAGUCCUAAUUAACUUGCAUAAUGAAAAAUCCUAAUUAAAACUUGGGCUAAAAAUAGAUAUGAAAUAAUAAUAUAACCCCAAAUUAAAUCAUGUAAAUGGUUGAAUUGUGGCGGAUUGCUCCUAUUUUUAAGGGAUUUGAAUCUGAUCCAAUUUUAGUUGAUAGGAAAUAGAUUAUCUCCUCAACGAACCAUAUUGAAGAUAUCUUCCCCUUUUUAGCUUUGAUUUAUCCCUUUUGGCCAACCGAAAUGAUGAUAGCUUUCCCUUGAAUUUCUCUAACCGUGUUGCUUGAAGAUAGAUAAGAUUUGACCAAUUUGAAAUAGUUAAAUCUUUUCCCAACCGUGUGGAUUGAUUUCAAUAUAAUUUAGGCAUAGAUAUUUCACUAAAGCUCUUUCCUUAUCUCUAGGCCUUGCCAUUCCAUCAUUGUAGUCGUGACUAGUUACCCUUGAACCUAACUGAAGUACGUGGUCAUGAAUCUGGACCAUGUUAUAUAUGAAUCCCAACCCACAUUACAUGAAUUAAAUACUAACAUUUUUGACAUUAAAUAAACUAUACUCCUAAGACUAUAUGAGAAUGCAAUCUCAUUUAUUUGAUUCAAUGGAAAUAAAAUAAACUAAAUAGAAAGUGACCUACGGACAUAAAUGUCCUUUUCACAUACCCUAUCCUGGGUCAAUUGUAUCCUUUGAGACUUUAAGGACCUCUGCCUUGGCCUUGGCCCUAGUUGUAGGACAAUCAUGACUUCUCUUGAUCUUGGGAUCAAAGGCUACUCUAGGAAGGUUUACAUCAUCCAUUUCGCCCUUCAAGUGAAUUCGUCCUUGAAUUGCCUUCAUUCUUAUCAUUCUUUCUAUCCUUGCCAUGAUCUUUCAAAGAAUGGCUAAGUGUAGAAAACUUUUCAGCCUUGGAAGUUGGAACAAUGUCAAGUGUAGGUUCGGCCAUGAACUUGGCUUUUGCCUCACUUUCCUUCUUUUCUUCUUCAACCUUAGCCCUUAGUCUCUUUUGCUCCUCAUUGACUUGUUUAGGGUUCAGAGGGCCUAACACUACCAUGUGACCAUGGUGUAUAAAUGAGACUUUGUUCAACUAUAUAUAUAUUUAUUAGAAAAUAGCACAACUAACAAACUUUUUAUAUAACAAGAUCUAAGUUUUGUUUAACUAUAUAUUUAUUGUAUCAACAAAAUCUACAAACCAUUUAACCAAUUCAGGUGAUGAUGUUUAUGAAUGAUUGAUAAUCUUCUUGGGCAGGUGGAGAAAUCAAGUAUGUGUUACACAAAAUAGAAUCAAUUGAUGAGGCAAACUUGGGAUAUAACUACAACAUAGUUGGGGGAGUUGGGUUUCCAGACACAGUAGAGAAGAUAUCUAUUGAAACCAAAUUGUUUGAAGGACCCAAUGGAGGAUCAAUUGGAAAGGUCACUACUAACAUUCUAACCAUAGGAGAUGCUCAACCCAAGGAAGAAGAGGGCAAGGCUGCCAAGGCAAGAGUAGAGAUGGCAAUAAAAACUGAACCCGUGGGUACCCGUCCGAACCCAACCCGAAUUUAACGGGGAAAACCCGUUGUGACUGGAUUCGGGUUUGGGUAAAACCCGAUCCCAAUUUUCGGGUUCGGGUUCAGGUUUGGUACAACUAAUACCCUACCCCGAACCUACCCCAAACCUGUUAGAUAUAAUACUAGGCAUACCUAAAGUCCUAAAUUAGAAAUAGAAAUAGUCAAAUAGUAGCCUGCGUGAACACUCAAAGUCUGAAACCUAAAGUCACACUCUCUUCUAUAGCAAGGUGGCAUGCAUAGUGGCAAUCCUCAAGGUGAUUAGGUGAGUCUUUCGUGUUCAUCUUCUUUCAUUAAGUUGAGUGUUUGUAGCCCUAACUCUGAAAGUUUUGGUGAGGUGCUAAUUUCUCCAAUGGCUUCUCGUUACAGAUCUGUUUCACGGCCAGCUUUCUCUCUCAUUAAAUCCACCUUCACUAAACCCUGGAGUUUGAUAUCUUCAAUAACUUUUUGUUGUUUCUUAUCUGUAAGAAAUUUUUGCUCUUCAUGUAUAUCAUUAUAUGUUCUGUUUUACUCUUAUAUUUUGUGUCAAUCCCAUAAAUACUCAUAGCUUUGAAUGUAAAUAGCAUCUUAUCUCUUGGUUCUUCAGAAUUUUGCUUUCGGAAAAUCGGAAUCUGUUUUCAAAAUUGAAUUUUGGUAGUAGAAACAAACAAUAUGGUUUGGGGUUUGGAAAUCCUAUGCUAGCUGGUUAGUUUUUUUUAUUCUCUAGCGUGGAAAAACACUGAUUUUGUCUGAUAGUGGUUUAGGACUUUAGGUUAAGGUAAACAUUGUAAGCUUUUAUUUAUGUAAUCAAGGAGAGUUCUAUGCUGCAAUUGAAAUUUUAUUUAUUGUCAAUGCUCUAUGCUUUCGAGUUUAAGUUAUUCUGGAAGUCUCAACUAUAUCUACCUGUGAAAUUGUAAUGCAUAAUGAAUUCAGUGAUUAAAUAUGUGUUUGCUAAUAUGUGUAAAUCUGUUUUUUUCUUCUAAUUGUUUUAUUAUUUAUUCAAUUAGGGAGAAUGAAUAUAGUAAACAGAACAGAUAUGGAUGUGGUUGGUACCCAACAUGCUUCACAAGGAAGUUUACAACAAGUAAAUGUGGAAGGCACUUCUAAUACUACACCUGAACAAUAUCAUAUUGGACAAGAUGACAAUAUAGAAUCAACAACACAACCUACAUCAAAGAGGCAUAGAAGUGUGGUGUGGGAGCAUUAUGAAAAGAUUAAAGUGGACGGAGUAGACAAGGCUGAGUGCAAAUAUUGUAAGAAAAAAAUCGGAGGGGGUUCAAAGAAUGGAACAAAGCACUUGCACAACCAUAUGGAGUUGUGUGUUCAAAAAAAGAUUAUGAGAGAGGCAAUAACAAAGGACAAUCAUUUCUAAUGCUUAAAGACUCACAAGGUAAGCAAGAGUUAGGAGUUGGAACUUAUGAUGCAGAAAAUACAAAAAAGGAACUCGCGAGCGCAAUUAUUAUGCACGAUUAUCCACUAUCAAUAGUGGACCAUGUUGGUUUUAGAUGGUACUCAGCUUCCCUCCAACCAUUGUUUCAAGUUCCUUCUCGAAACACCAUCAAGAAUGAGAUAUUGAAAGUGUAUGAUUUCGAGAGAGAAUGUCCAAUGAAGAUGUUGGAUAGUCAUGAAGGGAGAGUGGCCAUUACCUCAGAUAUGUGGACCUCAAGUAAUCAAAAGAGGGGUUACAUGGCAGUCACAACUCACUAUAUUGAUUGCUCUUGGACUUUACAAAGUCGAAUCUUGAGGUAAUUAUAUUUAUAAUUCAAUUUAUUUACAAUUUUUCAUGGAAAAAUUAUUGAAUGUGAAUAUUGUUAUUUUAGGUUCAUUUAUGUUCCUGCCCCUCACACUAGUGAUAUACUUUGUCAUGCGCUCGUUGAAUGCUUUAUGGAUUGGAACAUUGACACAAAAAUAUCAACUAUUACUCUAGAUAAUUGUACCACAAAUGAUGAUAUGAUUCCAAAAAUUAAGGAUAAAUUGCGGUUGGGAAAUUUGUUGAGGGAUGGGUCUUUACUUCAUAUGCGUUGUUGUGCACAUAUCCUAAAUUUAAUAGUUAAAGAUGGAUUAAAAGUUGUGAAAGAUAGGAUAGAAAAGAUUCGAGAUAGUGUAGCAUAUUGGAACGCUACACCAAAAAGGAGCGAAAAGUUUGAGGAGACUGCUAAACAAUUGCGAGUUCCUUAUACUAGAAAGUUAAUUUUAUAUUGUCCAACUAGAUGGAAUUCAAAUUACAAAAUGCUCGAGGUUGCCAUAUCGUAUAAGGAUGUAUGUAAUCGGUUAAAUCAAUGUGACACCCAAUAUACUUGUUUGCCAAGUAAUUAACAAUGGUAAUUUGCAGAGGAUGUUUGUGAGCGACUAAAAUUGUUUAGUUCUAUAAUCGAGAUGAUUUCUAGUACUAAGUAUCCAACUGCCAACAUAUAUUUUCCCAAGAUUUGUCAUAUUAAGCUAGCAAUAACUCGGUGGAUUAACUCCUCUAAUGAAUUGAUUAAAAUGAUGGCAGAGAAGAUGAUGGCCAAAUUUGAAAGGUAUUGGAGUGUGAUUCAUGAUAUUAUGGGAGUUGCUACAGUUUUGGAUCCUAGAUACAAAAUGGCAUUACUUGAAUUCUAUUUUGAUAAGUUGUAUGACCAUGAUGCAUUUACACAAGUAAGGAAAAUCCGAGAGUUGUGUUAUGAUUUAGUGUCUGAUUAUCAACAAACAAAAAAUUCGAGUGGAAGCUCUCCAUUGUUAAACAGAACUGUUACUAAUGAUGAACCUUUGGAGGAAUAUGAUGUGUGUAUCGAGAAGAGAAGAGAAAAUAGAAGCUCAAGUGUUAAAACUGAGUUGGAUCAUUACUUGGAGGUGGAUGUUAUAAAAAGAACACCGGAUUUUGACAUUUUAAAUUGGUGGAAGACAAAUGAAGUCAUGUAUCCAACACUUCAAGCAAUUGCAAAAAAUUUGUUAGCUAUUCCUAUUUCUAAUGUAGCUUCUGAAUCAGCAUUCAGCACAAGUGGUCGAAUAUUGAGUCCUCAUCACAAGUGGUUGAAUAUUGAAUCCUCAUCGUAGUCGACUUAAUUGGACUACAUUAGAGGCUUUGAUGUGUGCUAGGAGUUGGCUAUGGUCUGCUGAAAACGCUGGUAAAGUUUUAAAUUAUUAAAGUAUUGAUUCAAGUAUCAGAUUUAAUAUCUUAUAUUAUGUAAUAUAUUUUAUCUUAUCAUUCUUUGUUUUCAAUAUUGCUAGGAAAUUUGAAUUUCAGUUUCGCACAAGAAUAUGCUACUGUUUUAAAUGAAAUGGAGUCUGAUGAUGAAGGUAUUUUACAUUUCACUUGUUUUAAAUUAUUUGUUUAAUGGGUAUAUUUAAUUUUGGUUUUUAAAUCUUAAUACAGCUGAAGUGAUGAAGAGUAGUUUGAGUUAUUAUUUUGAAGAUUAGUAGUUGCUGCCUGAAUGUCUGCUGCAUCCAGAUAUUGAAGAAGACUUAUAUUUUAGUGUACUACAUCUAUGGAAGAAGACUUGUUAAUUGUUAUUGUUACUGAAUUAUGCUAUUGUUACUGAAUUAUUGUUAUUGCUUCAUCGAGAUAUCUAGUGAAUAUUGUUACUAAAUUAUGUGCUUUAUUGGUUGUGGUACUGAAAAUAUCCAUUAUUUAUGGUUGUGGUACUGAAAAUAUGCAUUAUUUAUGUGACAGUGAUGAACCUAGCAUAUGCUAAUUGCCUAAUUCAUAUGAAGACAGUGAUGAACCUUGCAUAUGCUAAUUCAUAUGCUAAUUGCUUAAUUCAUAUGAUGACAGUGAUGAACUUUGAUAUGCUAAUUGCCUAAUUCAUAUGAUAACAGUGAUGCUAAAGUAUGCAUUAUUUAUGGUGACAGUGAUGCUAAAAUGUGUAUAAUACACACUAAUGUUCACUGCUCAGUAUUUAUAUAUUUAUUUGUCGGGUUUACCCGUCGGGUUCGGGCUACCCGAAACCCGAUGGGUUUGGGUUGAUAUUCUUAUUUUCAAUCCCGUUGAGUUUGGGUUCGGGUUCGGGUUUUACAUUUCGGGUUCGGGAUUGGGUAAGGGUAAACCCGACCCCGAUCCGCCCCGUUGUCAUUCCUAAGCAAGAGGCACUACGCCAGAAUAGCAAAACAGCAGCGCUUAAAAUUGUCAUUUAACAGCGCUUUUGAGGCGCUUUCUAUGUGAGUGCAGUAGUACGUAAGGUUAUAUUCAAUAGCGUUUUUUGAAGUGCUCUAGAAAGUAGACAUUUAACAACUCUCACUGAAGCAAACGCUGUUAAAUGUCUACUUUCUAAAUAUGACAAUAUCUCUCAGAUAUUCUAUCAAACACAUGACAAUCAUGUCCAACUCCACCAUAAUUACAAUAGAUUUGUGAAAUCACCAACAACUCGAGCCACAUUCAACCUUAACAUAUUCCAAAACUAUAAAAUAACAUAUUAAUAAUGAGAUCUUACACAAAUUGUUCAUUCUUUCUCCUCCGAUGUGCAAGUCCUUACAGAGUGUUCCUGUGUUCCUCAAUGAUUAAUGCAAGCUACAAAUACAAAUAAAAAAUAUCAUCUCUAAACAAAUUGCAAAUGUUAUAAAAAAAUAAAAAAUUAGCAGCAAUUGAUAAAGAAUAUUUACCAUUACACUCAAACCUUGUGUUCUAACCAGUGAACCAUAACCAAAAUUCUAGAACAUCAUAGCUGCAUAACUUCACAACAAAUAAAGACUUGUUAUUUAUGGUGUAAAUACAAACAUCAAGACUGAAUCAAAAAGAAAUAAAUGAGCUAAAAUAAGAUAAUGAUUUACCUUAUAUGAAGUAUCGUCUUUAACAACGCUUUCUUCAAUAAGAGUUGUUAAAGAUAACACACCUUUAACAACACUUGCUUAAAUAAGCGCGGUUAAAGAUAACACCUUUAACAACGCUUAUUGAAGAAGUGUUGUUAAAUAUAUGAAGUAUGAUCUUUAACAAAUCUUUCUUCAAUAAGAGCUGUUAAAGAUAACACAUUUAACAUCGCUUUCUUCAAUGAGCACUGUUAAUUCUUUUUCCGCCUUAUAUUUAACCACGUUCAACACAUAAGUGUUGUUAAAUACCAAUUCUGGCAUAGUGAGGUGAUAUUUUUUUCAAGGCCAUUGAGAGUUACUUUUCUGCCCAUCCUGAGUACAACUAAAUUGAAUUCUAUCAUUGAAGAAGAGCUUCCUUAUAUAAAGUUUCCUUCCAUGUUAUACAUCUUGUGCUUUUAAGUUUUCCUCCUAUGUAAUGAUUAAUGAUUGUUCCUCUAUUCUCUUUCCUUUUUUUAUGCACAAGUGUGAGAUUAUAUGAGUUUGUAUUUCAUUUCAUCAAUAAAUUAAGACAAAAAAAAUUACAAGCACCUUCACAAUCAUGGUAGUUAAAAUUGAGAUUUUACUUAAGAUUGAGAUGGGUAUGGCGAAAGUAAUGCGAAAGCUUAAAAUGAAUAUUAUGGAUAAUUUUCAUUGAAUUGAUCAAGGCGUGAAAAUCCUUAUUUAUAGUAUAAACUAACUGGCUAACAAACUAAUAAACACAUGUUGUAAAAUAAUUCAACAUGUGUAAAAUGUGUAAAAAGUGUAAAAUGUUGUAGCUUUAUUCUCUAAUAGCCCCCUCAAGCUGGAGGGUAAAUGUAAAUUAACUCCAGCUUGAUCAUUCCAUUUGAUAUUGUGACAAUGUAAUGGAUCGAAAUCUCGAUCCUAACGUGAAUGAAUUUUCUCAAUCACUUGAUCUUGUUGUUGUUGAUCUUAUUGAUCUUGUUAUUGUUGAUCUUGUUGUUGUUGAUCUUAUUGUUGUUGUUGAUCUUGUUGUUGCUGUUGAUCUUGUUGUUGAUCUUAUUAAUCUUGUUGUUUGAUCUUGUACAUAUACUCCUUGAUGACACUUCUUUCUUCGACAACUUCCACUUCUCACAAAGUACAAAGGUGGUGCUGGUUUGGCAUAAUCCAUAGUAGAGGCCAUAGGAAUAGAACAAGGGAAAAAAAUUUUGAUAGAGCAGAACAGAGGAUCUUCAGACAAAUCAAAUAGAAAAUUAUUGCACGAAGUAAAAUGAUUCUCAAAUUCUUCCCUUUUUUCUUCCUUUUUUUUAUUUCUUCAAAAACUUCUCCGCUUUAUGUCGAGUUGGCUAUAACGAUUGAAAAGGUGGCUAUAACGAUUGAAAGCAAAGGAGAUGCUCAACCCAAUGAAGAAGAGGGCAAGGCUGCUAAGCCAAGAGGAGAUGCUUUUUUCAAGGCCAUUGAGAGUUACCUUUCUGCCAAUCCUAAUUACAACUAAACUACUCAACUCUGGCAUCGAAGAAAAGCUUUCUUAUAUAAAAUUUUCAUUCAUGCUAUCUAUUAUGUUUGUGCUUUUAUAUUUGCUUUCUAUGUAAUGAUUAAAAAGUUCUCUUUUCUUUUUCUACAAAAGUCUGAGAUUUUAUGACUUUGUAUCUUACUUCAUCAAUAAAUUAAUACAAAAAAUUUACAAGCACCAUAUUAUUAGAAAUGUGAUUGUUUGAAAGAUUUUAUAUUUUAUUACAUAUAUUGAAAAUCAAAUUUAAGCCAAACAUGAAUUCUUCAAGAUUGGAGAUUUUAUUUUUCAUAACAUAAACAUGAAAAUAACUACAAUAUGAAGAGUGAAUAUGGGAUCGAUGAGAUCGUCGAUUCAACCGACGAUAUGCUCCAACAUGGUGAUCUCACACAAUCUUAGGGAGGCUUGGCCAGAACUGAGAUAGGUUUAUUCCGUGUAAUAUAGUUUUCUUCCAUGCUAUAUUUAGUUUGUAUUUUUAUGUUUGCUUCCUAUAUAAUGAUCAAUAAGUGCUAUUCUCUUUCCUUUUUCUCCAAAAUUGUCAUAUUCCAUGAAUUUGUAUCUCAUUUCAUCAAUAAAUUAAUAUAAAAAAUUAUAAGCAUCAUCUAAUUAGAAAUAUGAUUGUUUGAAAGAUUUUAUAUUUUAUUACAUAUAUCCCAAAUCAAAUUUAAGCUAGACAUGAAGAAAUAUGAAUACUUGAAGAUUUUAAGUUUUCAUUUUUCAUAAGAUAAACAAAAAAUAACUACAAUAUGAGAAGAAGUAAUGAUAUUUGAGAAUACUAAACAAGUUUGUUACAUAUAUUAAUAUACAAGAAUGGAGAGCUAACUCACAUAGUCAUGUUGCCAUAUAUAUAAGGAUUUAAGAUGUUUAAAUAACAUUUUUAUAUGUGAGAAAGACUUAAAAAAACAAUUAUGUCUUGUAUUUAAAAGUAGUAAGUAAAAUUUUAAAUAGUUUUAAUGCUUUAUAGCUAAGAACUCUAUAAUUUUAUUUUAGAAUGUGUUCUAAAAUAUUAUAUGCACGAAUUUUUUACGCUGUAAAUUAAUCACCAACCAUUUAUAUUUAAUAAUAUUAUUGAAUUUUAAAUAUAAGUAAUAUAAGUAAGUAAUGAAUAAUAUAUUAUUUUUGUAGAAACUUUUAUAUUUACAAUAUAUUAUUUUAUAUGACGUUUAUAUGGGUUCGUUUUGUCGCAUAUGGUUCCUCACUAUUCAUCAAAUUAUACGACCCGGCAAUAACGAAUUGCUUCUAGAAUUGAAUAUUUUUCCUGUGAAAACUCAAAUCCACCUUCUUUGACCAACGAUUGAAAUUCUUUACACAAGACCAAAAGCUCUAUUUGUUUUUCAAUCAUAUUCAUACGUGACUAAUGGAACACGAGAAUCAGAGGUUAGAGAAAAAAUUAUAGAACCUUUUUCACCAAAUAAUCACCUAUUAAAAAUUUAUACUCAUUGCCUAAUUUAAAAUUUUAUUAUUCCUUCAAUUAUUUGGUAAUUAAUAAUUAUUUAUUGAUCAAAAGUUGUAUCAUGUUUGUAAAAAGUAUAAUGUGAUAUAUCAUAUAUUUUUGUUGUAAUCCAUCAUAAUCAUAAUUUAAUAAGAGAUUUAAGAGUAAAAUGGUAAACACACGCAUUUAUUUGAAUUUAAAAACGUAGAGAUUAAAAAACCUGUCAUAAAUAAAAAGAUUUAUAACUUUAGCUUUUAGCGGUGGCAUGGAUUUUUGUAAUUUCUAAUUUUACAAAAGUUAUUUAUUAGUCAAAUGAUCACUUCUUUUAAAUUUAAUUAUGUGUCAAUCUCUCAAGCCUUCAUGACAUGUGUCAACCUCUCAUCAAAACUAAAGGUCUCUCAUGACAUGUGUCAAUCUCUCAAUCAAUACUUUCCCUCCAAAACAUGUCAAUCUUCCAUUUUUGUUCAUUGUACAAUUUAAUUUUAAUGAUUAAACAAAAAAAAACUCACUCAUGAUAUGUGUCAAUCUCUCAAGCCCUCAUGACAUGUGUCAACCUCUCAGCAAAACUCAUGAGNNNNNNNNNNNNNNNNNNNNNNNNNNNNNNNNNNNNNNNNNNNNNNNNNNNNNNNNNNNNNNNNNNNNNNNNNNNNNNNNNNNNNNNNNNNNNNNNNNNNUUUCUUCCUUUUUUUAUUUCUUCAAAAACUUCUUCGCUUUAUGUCGAGUUGUUGACAAUGAUUCUUUGUUGAAUCUUGGAAGAUGAAGAUAAUAAUUUUAGAGAAUGUGCAACAUUGACCAAAGACUUCAAGAUGAAGGCUCUGAUACUGUAUGGCGAAAUUGUUGCGAAAGCGUAAAAUGAAUAUUAUGGAUAUUUCUCACUGAAUUGAUCAAGUCAUGAAAGGCCUUAUUUAUAGAGUAAACUAUCUAUCUAACUAACUAGCUAACAAACUAAUAAAUACAUGGUGUAAAACAAUUUAAUUUGUGUAAAAUGAGUAAAAAUGUAAAAAGUGUAAAAUGUGGUAGUUUUGUUCUCCAAUAAUGAGAGUCAUAAAUCAUAAAUGUAUGAUCAUAACACGACUUCUAAGAUCCUAGUGAUUAAUAUAUACUAGGGUUGGCAAUGGGCACAGGUAGUAGAUACCCGCUACCCGUUUCAAAAUAGGAGAGUAUUACCCAUACCCGCCCGUGUGCGGGUAUUCGUGGGUAUUUCUUGGUACCCGUGGGUACAACAGGUACCCGCGAGUUUCCUAUAUUAUAAAUGAAUUNNNNNNNNNNNNNNNNNNNNNNNNNNNNNNNNNNNNNNNNNNNNNNNNNNNNNNNNNNNNNNNNNNNNNNNNNNNNNNNNNNNNNNNNNNNNNNNNNNNNUGCGUUUCUACACAUGUAAUAAAUAAUAUUUGUAGGGCGUUUCACCACUAAACUCAAUACAAUACGUAAACAAAGUAAAAGGAAAAAAUAUAUAUAGUAUAAUGAAUGUUAGAAUAAUGUACUUUUUAUUUUAAUUAAAUAUAAUANUAUAAAUAAUGGGUACCCGCGGGCACGGGUACCAUAAUACCCGUACCCACCCGUAUGUACUACGGAUAUUUUUAAAAACCCGUUUAUAAUAUCCGCAGGUACCCGUUUGUGACCCGUACGGGUUUUACCUGCAGGUACCCACAAGUACGGGUUUUUGCCAUCCCUAAUAUAUACAUAUAAUCUCAUAUAGUAAAAAAUUUCAUAUUACAACUCAAUCCAUAUUUUUUUGACAUGUUUGCAUAAUAGGAAAAAAUUAGUAAUAGGACCAAUAUUUUAAAAAAUGAAACUAAAAUUUUAAAAAGCCCAUUUUUAUAUCCUAACUAAAUAAAAUAAAUUAGUGAAAUAAUCAUUAUUUUAAUGAAUAAAACUAUAAUAGUAAAAGAGCCCAUAUUAUAGUCCAUUCCUAAAGAACCAACAUUUUAAAGAAUAAAAAAAAUUGUAAAAAGCACAUAUUACACAUAACCCAAACCUUAUUUUUCCUAGGGUUUCCCAUUACGGUUUCUAACUUUUCCCUUCAGUGGUUUAUGUUCCUCCUUUCAUUUCAAAUAUGCCAUGGCUAGUGCGUGCUGGAUCUCACGACGAGAACAAGAAGGUUCGAUGUUUUUUUGCUCCAUGUUCUUAUAUUUCUACUUUUUUCAUGCAUCUUACGAAUCAAUAAAAGUGUUGGAUUGAGGGAGAAGAGAGAUGGAAAAAGCUGGUGGAGAAGAGUGAAUAUGGGAUCGAUGAGAUCGUCGAUUCAACCGACGAUAUGCUCCAACAUGGUGAGCUCACACAAUCUCAAGGAGGCUUGGCCAGAACUGAGAUAGGUUUAUUCCGUGUAAUAUAGUUUUCUUCCAUGCUAUAUUUAGUUUGUAUUUUUAUGUUUGCUUCCUAUAUAAUGAUCAAUAAGUGCUAUUCUCUUUCCUUUUUCUCCAAAAUUGUCAUAUUCCAUGAAUUUGUAUCUCAUUUCAUCAAUAAAUUAAUAUAAAAAAUUAUAAGCAUCAUCUAAUUAGAAAUGUGAUUGUUUGAAAGAUUUUAUAUUUUAUUACAUAUAUCCCAAAUCAAAUUUAAGCUAGACGUGAAGAAAUAUGAAUACUUGAAGAUUUGAAGUUUUCAUUUUUCAUAAGAUAAACAAAAAAUAACUACAAUAUGAGAAGAAGUAAUGUUAUUUGAAAAUACUAAACAAGUUUGUUACAUAUAUUAAUAUACAAGAAUGGAGAGCUAACUCACAUAGUCAUGUUGCCAUAUAUAUAAGGAUUUAAGAUGUCUAAAUAACAUUUUUAUAUGUGAGAAAGACUUAAAAAAACAAUUAUGUCUUGUAUUUAAAAGUAGUAAGUAAAAUUUUAAAUAGUUUUAAUGCUUUAUAGCUAAGAACUCUAUAAUUUUAUUUUAGAAUGUUCUAAAAUAUUAUAUGCACGAAUUUUUUACGCUGUAAAUUAAUCACCAACCAUUUAUAUUUAAUAAUAUUAUUGAAUUUUAAAUAUAAGUAGUAUAAAUAAGUAAUGAAUAAUAUAUUAUUUUUGUAUAAACUUUUAUAUUUACAAUAUAUUAUUUCAUAUGACCUUUAUAUGGGUUCGUUUUGUCGCAUAUGGUUCCUCACUAUUCAUCGAAUUAUACGACCCGGCAAUAACGAAUUGCUUCUAGAAUUGAAUAUUUUUCCUGUGAAAACUCAAAUCCACCUUCUUUGACCAACGAUUGAAAUUCUUUACACAAGACCAAAAGCUCUAUUUGUUUUUCAAUCAUAUUCAUACGUGACUAAUGGAACACGAGAAUCAGAGGUUAGAGAAAAAAUUAUAGAACCUUUUUCACCAAAUAAUCACCUAUUAAAAAUUUAUACUCAUUGCCUAAUUUAAAAUUUUAUUAUUCCUUCAAUUAUUUGGUAAUUAAUAAUUAUUUAUUGAUCAAAAGUUGUAUCAUGUUUGUAAAAAGUAUAAUGUGAUAUAUCAUAUAUUUUUGUUGUAAUCCAUCAUAAUCAUAAUUUAAUAAGAGAUUUAAGAGUAAAAUGGUAAACACAUGCAUUUAUUUGAAUUUAAAAACGUAGAGAUUAAAAAACCUGUCAUAAAUAAAAAGAUUUAUAACUUUAGCUUUUAGCGGUGGCAUGGAUUUUUGUAAUUUCUAAUUUUACAAAAGUUAUUUAUUAGUCAAAUGAUCACUUCUUUUAAAUUUAAUUGUUCAAAUAGUUUAUAUUAAUUGUUCCCAUUUCUCAAAACAACAAUUAUAUAUAUAUAUCAAAUUAUGUUGCAAAUGCUAUAUAUCAAUACCUUCUGGUCAAAUUUUGUAUAAAGAAACAAUACAUUUAUUUAUUUUGUAUAACGUAUACUAAUAUAUUUUCAAAUUAUAACAUAUAUAUCAAAAUCAAGGCUCCUAAGUGUACAUCUCGUCACUUUUGUUGACAAUUAUGGCUCUUAUAUAUUAAUAAGUGGGUAGAUAUUAUCCCCAAUAGUGAAAUGAAAAGGAUAGGAGCCCUAAUAACCUCUCUAUUCAGCACCUAUCCACAAUGAGGCAUACAAGCAGAGCUACCUAUAAAUAGAAGGCACUCCUUUGCUCAUAACUCACACAACAACCAUUCUAAUAUCUUCUUCUCAUAUAUUUUUCCAUUAUUCUUCCUCCUUUUACUAAUUAGUUUUUAAGUAUGGGUGUUUUUACAUUUGAGAAUGAAUCCACCUCUACUGUAGCUCCUACUAGGCUUUACAAAGCUUUGGUUGUAGAUGCUGACACCAUCAUCCCAAAAGCCGUUGAAGCCAUCCAGAGUGUUGAAACCGUUGAGGGAGAUGGUGGCCCUGGAACCAUCAAGAAGCUCACUUUGAUUGAGGGUUAGUAUAUUAUCCCAUAUAUCUUCUUCAUGCAUAAGAUAUAUGCUCAUGACAUAUCAUUAUACAAGGGAAAUUUCAGUUUCCUUUUAGUGUUUGUGAUGCUAUUUUUACGCAUGCUAAACUUUUAUUACAAAUACACAAACAUUUAUAGAACAAAGUCUAAGUUUUGCUCAACUCUAUAUAUAUUGAUUAGAAAAUAGCACAACUAACAAACAUUUUACAUAACAAGAUCUAAGUUUUUUGUUUAACUGUAUAUUUAUUAUAUCAACUGUCUAAAAACCAUUUAACAAAUUAAGAUGAUGAUGUUUAUGGAUGUUUGAUAUUUUUAUUGAGCAGGUGGGGAAACCAAGUAUGUGUUACACAAAAUUGAAUCAAUUGAUGAGGCAAACUUGGGAUAUAACUACAGCAUAGUUGGGGGAGUUGGGUUGCCAGACACAGUAGAGAAGAUAUCUAUUGAAACCAAAUUAUUUGAAGGACCCAAUGGAGGAUCAAUUGGAAAGGUCACUAUUAACAUUCAAACCAAAGGAGAUGCUCAACCCAAUGAAGAAGAGGGAAAGGCUGCCAAGGCAAGAGGUGAUGCUUUUUUCAAGGCCAUUGAGAGUUACCUUUCUGCCCAUCCUGAGUACAACUAAAUUGAAUUCUAUUAGUGAAGAAGAGUUUCCUUAUAUAAAGUUUUCUUCCAUGUUAUCCGGUUUGUGCUUUUAAGUUUGCCUCUUAUGUAAUGAUUAAUAAGUGCUCUUCUAUUCUCUUUCCUUUUUUAUGCAAAAGUGUGAGAUUAUGUGGAUUUGUAUUCCAUUUCAUCAAUAAAUCAAUACAAAAAAUUACAAGGACCUUCGUAAUCAUGAUGGUUAAAAUCGAAAUUUUACUUAAGAUUGGGAUGGAGUCAAAUAUCAUAAAUGUAUGAUCAUAACAUGAUUCAUAAGAUUUUAUUAUUAAUAUAUACAUAUAAACUCAUAUAGUAAAAAAUCUCAUAUUACAACCCAAACCUUAUUUUUUGAUAUACUUGCUUAAUAGGAUAAAUUAGUAAAAUGACCACUAUUUUAAAGAAUAAAACUACAAUUUUAAAAAAGCUCAUAUAACAACCCAAUUUCUUUUUGAUAUGCUAGCUAAAUAAAAUAAAUUAGUGAAAUAAUCAUUAUUUUAAAGAAUAAAACUAAGAUGGUAAAAAAGCCCAUAUUAGAGUACAUUCCUAAAUAACCCACAUUUUAAAGAAUAAAAAGAUUGCAAAAUACACAUUAUUACAUACAACCCAAACCUUAUUUUUCCUAGGGUUGCCAAUUACGGUUCCUAACUUUUCCCUCCGGUCGUUUUCAUUCCUCCUUUCAUUUCAAACAUGUCAUGGUAGCUAUAUGUUGGAUCUCAUGAUGAGAAGAAGAAGGUUCGAUGUUUUUUUGCUCCAUGUUUCUAUCUUUCUACUUCAUUUAUGCAUNNNNNNNNNNNNNNNNNNNNNNNNNNNNNNNNNNNNNNNNNNNNNNNNNNNNNNNNNNNNNNNNNNNNNNNNNNNNNNNNNNNNNNNNNNNNNNNNNNNNAUGAGUUGUUUUCUCUCCGAGGCUACAUCACUAACCAGAUGGAUGGCCUCGCCUCUCAGAAUCAACAAAUCCAAUAUGAACUUCAUUGCCUCUUCUCUAGGAUGGAUAGCAUGGUUAUUGAUGAAGACAAUUCGGAGCCUGAGUCUUAGAAUAUUUUUUGUUAGGAUCUUCUGGUUGUAUUAUUUUCAAAAUUUGGACAAAGUUUUAAUUCUGAUUAUUUAUUGUUUUUAAAGAUAUUGCUGCAUAUUCCUGGACAAGUUACUUUAUGAUGUUUUGUGUAUAAUUGUUCCAUGCCUGGAUUCAUAUUUGAAACAUCUUAUUUAUACAUUGCAAUACUUUCUUAUCUAUAUCUUAAUCCAUACAUGAGUAUAUGAUAUCAUAUUGAUAUAUCUUGAUUAUAUAAGUGUAUGUAUGCUAUAUAUAUUGUGCUGGAAUCUCUUUGCUUUUCUACUUUUUGAUGAAGUCAAAAGGGGGAGAAAAGUUGGGGGAAGUGUAUUUUCUGUCAAAUUAUUUCAGGUACAUUACUCCAAAAGAAAGGGGAGCAUACAAGAUAGGGGGCAUACUCAAGUCAAACUUCAACAUAUCUCAAAGUAUGCUGCUCUCAAGAAAACUACACUGUCAAAAGAUCUUGGUUUGUCAUCAUCAAAAAGUGGGAGAUUGUGAAGAUGAUCUUUGCUCCUGACCUCGGCAAGAUUUUGAUGAAGACACCAACAUCACCAAAAAUAAGAAAAGGAAUAUUACUUAUUAAGACCAAGAAGAUUAAAGCUUCAAGAAAAUUAGUCUAAGUCUAAUUAAGUACUUGUAUCAUAUACUCUUUAAUAUACUAAAGUAGUAAUGGUCAAAAUAUUUUAAAAGAAAUUGAAACACUUCAAGUUUUAAAUGAAAACAUUUUUCAAAAUAAUGUGUAACAAGUUACUGAAAUUUGAGUAAUAGGUUAUUGAAAUUUGAGUAAUAAGUUACAUGAGUUAGAAUCAGUUAUCCAACAAUAUUUAAAUUGGAGUAACCGAUUACUCAAAUUUGAGUAACUGAUUACUCUAAGUGAAUUUUGAAUUCAGUGUUGGACAUAGAGUUUGAGUUACCGAUUAUUCAAUGUAAUUUUUCAAAAUGUCACGUUUGGGUAACCGAUUACCCACUUAUUGUAAUCGAUUAUUGAGAGUUGUUACAUCAGUUUUUCAGAUUUGAAACUCAAGGGUUUUCAUCCCAAACAAAAUGCGUUCAUUCCAAACAAUUUCUAUUCUUUCAUAAAGGCACAAUGACUGAUUGGAAAGCCUAUUUAAAGGCCUUAGAACUCACAAUGAAAAAAAUCUUUCAACAACUCUUUCAUAACUCCUUCACACUUUUCUCACAACUUUCCUACACUUUUCUGAAAUAGUUUUCUGAACUUCUAGCAACUUGAACUCAAAUUUUCGAAGUUUUUUUUUUUGACUUGCUUGAAGUAAAGUGUUUUAAAGUUUUGUAAAUUUAAAAGAGCAUUAUUUACUAAGUAUACAAAAGAGUUGAUUGGAUUGCAAAUGUUAUUAUAUUUCAUACUUGUAAAGGCAAUCCAAGACAUCAUUCAAAUUCUUCAUUCAUUGUAAUUACUUUCUUUCACGGGGUGUGAAUAGAAAUGGAAUAGAGUUACUUGGAAAGGUGUUUUCCAAGCUGAUAAGUAUUAGUGAGUGUUUAAGGUACAUAGAGAUCUCGGUGUGAGAUAUUGUAAUUACAACUCAUAAUAUUUAGUGGAAAAUCUCUUGUGCUGCAAGAGUACUGGAUGUAGCCUUCGGUGAACAAGAAGGUGAACCGGUCUAAAAUCAUUGUGUAUUCUCUUCUCCCUUACCUCUUUGAUUUAUUCUUGUUUAUAUUCUGCAAUAUUAUCCGAUGCACUUUAACUCUUCAUUUUGCAGAAAAAGUGGUCAUAAUUUCUAGUCAACUAAUUCACCUCCCCCCCCUCUUAGUUGCAAUCUCAGUCUUACACUAUCUACAAUGGGGCAUACAAUUAGAAAUGCCUAUAAAUACAAGGCACCUAUUUGCUCAUAAAUCACACAACAACAUUUCUAACAUUAUCUUCUCAUAUAUCCUUUCAUUAAUGCUUCUUCCUUUUGCUAAUUAAUUCCCAAGUAUGGGUGUUUUUACAUUUGAGAAUGAAUCUACUUCUACUGUAGCUCCUGCCAGGCUUUACAAAGCUUUGGUUAUAGAUGCUGACAUCAUCAUCCCAAAGGCCAUUGAAGCCAUCCAGAGUGUUGAAAUCGUUGAGGGUAAUGGUAGCUCUUGAACCAUCAAAAAACUUAUUUUGGUUGAGGGUUAGUAUACUAUUCUAUAUAUCAUCUUCAUACAUAGAAUAUAUGUUCAUGGUAUAUCAUUAUAUAUGAGAAAAUUUAGUUUUCUUUUAGUAUUUGUAAUGCUAUUUUAACACAUGCUAAAUUUUUAUUACGAAAAAAGCAAACAUUUAUAGAAGAUGAUCUAAGUUUUGUUCAAUUAUAUAUUUGUUAGAAAAUAGCACAACAAACAAAUAUCUUAUAUAAGAGGAUCUAAGUUUUGGUUAGUUGUAUAUUUACCACAUAAAUAAUUGAGUAAGCCAAUUAAUUUGUUGAUGUUUAUGGAUGUGAUAUUCAUAUUGAGCAGGCGAGGAAACCAAGUAUGUGUUACAUAAAAUAGAAGCAAUUGAUGAGGCCAAUUUGGGAUAUAACUACAGUAUAGUUGGAGGAGUUGGGUUACCAGACACACUGGAGACGCUAUCAAUUAAGACCAGAUUGGUUGAAGGAGCCAAUGGAGGAUCAAUUGGAAAGGUGACUAUAACGAUUGAAAGCAAAGGAGAUGCUCAACCCAAUGAGAAGAAGAGGGCAAGGCUUCCAAGUCAAGAGGAGAUGCUUUUUUCAAGGCCAUUGAGAGUUACUUUUCUGCCAAUCCUAAUUACAACUAAACUACUCAACUCUGGCAUUGAAGAAAAGCUUUCUUAUAUAAAAGUUUCUUUCAUGCUAUAUAUUAUGUUUGUGCUUUUAUAUUUGCUUUCUAUGUAAUAAUUAAUAAGUUCUCUUUUCUUUUUCUACAAAGUGUGAGAUUUCAUGAGUUUGUAUUGUACUUCAUCAAUAAAUUAAUACAAAAAAAUUACAAGCACCAUAUUAUUAGAAAUGUGAUUGUUUGAAAGAUUUUAUAUUUUAUUACACAUAUUGAAAAUCAAAUUUAAGCCAAACAUGAAUUCUUCAAGAUUGGAGAUUUUAUUUUUCAUAACAUAAACAUGAAAAUAACUACAGUAUGAUGAAAAGAAGUAAUGUUAUUUGAGAAUACUAAACUAGUUUGUUGUAUAUAUUUAAUAUAUACAAGAAGGGAGAGCUAACUCACAUAGUCAAGUUGCCAUAUAAGUAUUUAAGAUGCUUUAAAAACAAUGUUAGAUGUGAAAAAGACUUAAAACAAUUAUGUCUUGUAUUUAAAAGUAGUGAGAAUAAUUUUAUAUAAUAAAUUUAUGAGGGUGAAAAUGAGGAAUGGCUAUGCAUGCUAUAUAAGAAAAGGUGGAGACUAACUUGUGAAUUUCAAGUUAGUUUGCGUCAAUGUGAACUAGUUUUUUGUCGUUGGAUCAAAUGAGUUUUAAUCUCACCCAUCAAAUUUGUGAUUGAUUACCAUUUUAGUAUAGAAAUCGUGAUCCAGCAAUAUGACUUAUGUUUAGUAUAGAAGUCAUGAUCUAGCAGUACGACUUUUGGUAGUUGGGAAGUCAGUAUACACCAUAACGACUUCAAUUAGUUUGGAAGUUGUUUUGCAGAAGUACUACUUUUGUGUACCUUAGAAGCCUGAUUGGUACAAUACGUCUUUUGUGUAUCUUAAAUCUAAGUUGACAAGUAGAUUAUUAUUUCUAAGUUUCAAUGAUUCGAGAUAAAUACAAAUUGAUCUCAUGGUUUAUGAGUUCUGACAACGUACAAUAGUAUUUAUUUUGUUGAAUAAGAAUUAUGUUUUGAACACAGCUUAGUGGGUCAUUUCUCUCCCAUGAUGUUCUACUGGUAUUAGAAACUUGGAAUUUUAUUUUAGAAAACACAUGUAAAAGUCGUACUUUUCAAAGACGACUUCAACAAGAAAGUCGUACUUCUCAAAAACGAUUUCAACAAGAAAGUCGUACUUCUCCAAGACGACUUCAUCAUGACCAGAAGUCAUCUUACACCAUCACGACUUCUACACUAAAAUUAUAUCAUGCCAUCACGACUUCUAAAAGUUUUCCAAAACUGUAUCCAGUUAUCAAAAAUUUUCAUCCAACAGCUAAUAUGCAGUUCGCUUCAAAUCGAAUUAAGAACUCUAUAAGCUUAUUUUUAAAUGUUCUAAAAUAUUAUGAUAAAAGAUAUAUAUAUAUAUAUAUAUAUAUAUAUAUAUAAAGUUUUUUAUACUACCAAUUCAUCAUCAACCAUUUAUAUUCAAUUAUAAUAUUAAUUUUUAAAUAUACAUAAUACAAAUGAAUAGUGAAUAAUAUAUUGUCUAUUCAUAAAUAUUUAUGUUUCCACUGAAUAUUUCAUUCUAUAUUAUUCCAUAUGACCAUUUAUAUGGGUUCGUUUUGUAGCAUAUAGUUCCUCACUAUUCAUCAAAUUAUACGACCAAGCAAUAAUGAAUUGCUAGAAUAAGGCUUCUAGAAUUGAAUAUUUAUCCUUUGAAAACUCAAAUCCACCUUCUUUGACCAACGCUUGAAAUUCUUUACACAAGACCAAAAGCUCUACUUUUUUUCAACUAUAUUCAUACGUGACUAAUGGAACACGGGAAUCAGAGGUUAGAGAAAAACAUUAUAGAAAUUUUUUCACCAAACAAUCACCUAUUAAAAAUUUAUAGUCAUUGCCUAAUUUAAAGCAUUAUGUUUUUCAUUUCCUUCCAAAUAACAGACUGUGUAUUAAUAAUUUUAUCAAAUAAAAUGGAACCGUUUGUGCCUGUUUAUAAAUUUUAAUUAGUAUUGCGCGGAAUGCAUGUGUUUUUCUUUGAUAUUAUUUUUUUAUUCAAUUAUUUAGUAGUAAAUAAUUAUUUAUUGAUCAAAAGUUGUAUAUUGUUUGUAAAAAGUAUAAUGUGAUAUAUCAUAUUUUUUAUUGUAAUCCAUCAUAAUUUAGUAAGAGAUUUAAGAUUAAAAUGGUAAGUACAUGCAUUUAUUUGAAUGUAAAAACUUAGAGAUUAUAAAAACUGUCGUACCUUUAGAUGUAGCAUGGAUUUUUGUGAUUUCUAAUUUUACAAAAAUUAUUUAUUGGUCAUAGGAUCACUUCUUUUAAUCUUGAUUAUUCAAAUAAAAUCCAAUUAUAUAUAUAUAUAUAUAUAUACCUUCCGUCAAAUUUUGUAUGAAGUAAUAAUACAUUUAUUUAUUUUGUAUAACAUAUACCAAUAUAUUUACAAAUUAUAACAUAUAUAUCAAAAUGAUGGCUCCUGAGUGUGCAUCUCGUCCCUUUUGUUGACAAUGGGUAGAUAUUGUCCCCAAUAGACAAAUGAAAAGGAUAGGUGGCUAACAACCUCUAUAGUCAGCACCUAUCCACAAUGAGGCAUACAAGCAGAGGUGCCUAUAAAUACAAACACUCCAUUGCUCAUAACUCACACAACAACCAUUCCAACAUCUUCCUCUCAUAUAUCUUUGCAUUAUUCUUCCUCCUUUUGCUAAUUAAUUUUCAAGCAUGGGUGUUUUUACCUUUGAGAAUGAAUCCACCUCUACUGUGGCUCCUGCUAGGUUAUACAAAGCUUUGGUAACAGAUGCUGACAUCAUAAUCCCAAAGGCUGUUGAUACCAUCCAAAGUGUUGAAACCGUUGAGGGUAAUGGUGGACCUGGAACCAUCAAGAAACUCACUUUGGUUGAGGGUUAGUAUAUUAUUCCAUAUAUCUUCUUCAUCCAUAAGAUAUAUUAUUAUACGGGAAAAAUUUAGUUUUCUUUUAGUGUUUGAGAUACUGUUUUUAAGCAUUCCAAACUUUUAUUACAAAAAAACAAACGUUUAUAUCAUUAUAGCAUAACUAACAAAUAUUUUAUGUAAGAAGAUCUAAGUUUUGUUUAAAUGUGUAAUUAUUAUAUCAACAAAAUCUACAAACCACUUAACCAAUUAAGGUGAUAAUGUUAAUGGAUGUUUGAUAAUCUUAUUGGACAGAUGGGGAAACCAAGUAUGUGUUACACAAAAUAGAAUCAAUUGAUGAGGCAAACUUGGGAUAUAACUACANNNNNNNNNNNNNNNNNNNNNNNNNNNNNNNNNNNNNNNNNNNNNNNNNNNNNNNNNNNNNNNNNNNNNNNNNNNNNNNNNNNNNNNNNNNNNNNNNNNNUGGGUUGCCAGACACGGUAGAGAAGAUAUCUAUUGAAACCAAAUUGUUUGAAGGACCCAAUGGAGGAUCAAUUGGAAAGGUUACUAUUAACAUUCAAACCAAAGGAGAUGCUCAACCGAAUGAAGAAGAGGGCAAGGCUGCGAAAGCAAGAGGUGAUGUUUUUUUCAAGGCCAUUGAGAGUUACCUUUCUGCCCAUCCUGAGUACAACUAAAUUGACUUCUAUCACUGAAGAAGAGCUUCCUUUUAUAAAGUUUACUUCCAUGUUAUACAUCUUGUGCUUUUAAGUUUGCCUCCUAUGUAAUGAUUAAUAAGUGCUCUUCUAUUCUCUUUUUUUUAUUAUGCAAAAGUGUGAGAUUAUAUGAGUUUGUAUUUCAUUUCNNNNNNNNNNNNNNNNNNNNNNNNNNNNNNNNNNNNNNNNNNNNNNNNNNNNNNNNNNNNNNNNNNNNNNNNNNNNNNNNNNNNNNNNNNNNNNNNNNNNUCAAUAAAUUAAUACAACAAAAUUACAAGCAUCUUCACAAUCAUGGCAGUUAAAGUCGACAUUUUACUUAAAAUUGGGAUGAGAGUCAAAUAUUAUAAAUGCACGAUCAUAACACGACUUGUAAGAUCAUACUUAUUAAUAAAACUCAUAUAAUAAAAAAACUCAUAUUACAACUCAAUCCUUAAUUUUGAUAUUCUUGCAUAAUAGGAUAAAUUAGUAAAAGGACCAAUAUUUUAAAGAAUAAAAUUAAAAUUUUAAAAAAGCCCACUUUUUUAUAUGCUAGCUAAAAAAUAGUGAAAUAAUCAUUAUUUUAAAGAAUAUAAUUAUAAUGGCAAAAAACUCAUAUUACAGUCAAAUCCUAAAGAACCCGUAUUUUAAAGAAUAAAAAGAUUGUAAAAAUUACAUAUUACACACAACCCAAACCUUAUUUUUCCUAGGGUUGCCCAUUACGGUUCCUAUAUUUUCCCUUCAGUGGUUUCUGUUCCUCUUUUCAUUUCAAACAUGUCAUGGUUGCUGCUUCCUGGAUCUCACAACGAGAACAAGAAGGUUCAAUAUUUUCUUGCUCCAUAUUCCUAUCUUUAUACUUCUUUCACGCAUCUUAUAAAUCAAUAAAAUAAGUUUGACGGGUUGAGGGAGAAGAGAGAUGGAAAAAGCUAGUGGAGAAGAGUGGAUAUGGGAUCGAUGAGACUGUCGAUGCAAUCGAUCUUACGCUCCUACAUGAUGAUCUCACACGAUCUUAAGGAGGCGUGCCCAAAACUGAGAUAUGUUUAUUCCAUGUAAUAUAGUUUUCUUCCAUAUUAUAUUAGUUUGAGUUUUUAUGUUUGCUUCCUAUGUAAUGAUCAAUAAGUGUCAUUCUCUUUCAUUUUUCUCCAAAAUUGUCAUAUUCUGUGAGUUUGUAUCUCAUUUCAUCAAUAAAUUAAUACGAAAAAAUUACAAGCAUUAUCUCAUUAGAAAUAUGAUUGUUUGAAAUAUUUUAUAUUUUAUUACAUAUAUGGCAAACCAAAUUUAAACUAGACAUCAAGAAGUAUGAAUACUUGAGGAUUUGAAGUUUUUAUUUUUCAUAACAUAAACAUGAAAAUAACUACAAUAUGAGAAUAAGUAAUGUUAUUUGAGAAUACUAAACAAAUUUGUUAUAUAUAUUAAUAUAUACAAGAAGGGAGAGCUAACUCACAUAGUCAUGUUGCCAUAUAAGUAUUUAAGAUGUUUAAAAAACAUUUUUAUAUGUGAAAAAGACUUAAAAAAACAAUUAUGUCUUGUAUUUAAAAGUAGAAUGUAAAAAUUUUAAGUAUUUAAGAUCCACUUACUCCAAGAGUAAGUUUUUUAAAUUUAUUCUACAUUCUAGCCAUCAAUUUUAGGGAAAUCCAAUGGUUUAAAUUAGUGAGUAUAUAUAAGCCAUUAGAUUUCCCUAGAAUUGAUAGCUAGAAUGAGAAGUAAGUUUAAAAAACUUACUCGUGAAGUCUCACUCAAUUUUAAAUAGUUUUAGUGCAUUUAAUGUUUGAUAGCUAAGAACUCUAUAAGUUUAUUUUAGAAUAUCUAAAAUAUAAUGAGAAAAAGAUAUAUACACGAGUUUUUUAUGGUGACAAUUUAUCAAUCAUUUAUAUUCAAUAACAUUAUUGACUUUUAAAUAUAAGUAAUACAAAUGAGUAAUGAAUAAUAUAUUAUUUGUGUAUAAACUUUUAUAUUCAUGGUAAGAGUAUAUAGAUAGAGAAAAAGACGUAUACACUAACAAUGUAAGACUUUUUACAAUAUCAUUACAUCAUCCACCAUUCAUUUUUAAUCAUCAUUUACUUUUAAACACAAGUAAUACAAAUGAAUUGUGGGUGACGCACUGACUAUGUAUAAAUCUUUACACUAUCAGUACAUAAAUAUUACACUGAUAUAAAUAUUACAUUCCUAUAUUAUUCAUAUCACAUUUAUAUGGGUUAGUUUUGUGGCAUACAGUUCCUCACUAUUCAUCAAAUUAUACGACCCUGUAAUAAUGAAUUGUUACGUUGAAUUCAGCUUCUGAUGACAACCUCAAGGGGGCUAUCUUAGAAUUAGGAUCGCUUUAUCUUGAAGUCUUGAGCUUUUUAAGUUGUAAUUCGAUUUUGGUGAAUUAUGGGGAAUUUGGGGUUGUUUUGGUGAGGGAAAUGGAAAAUAUUAGAAGGGGCAAGCGCCACAAGCAAGAAUGUUUGAUAAGCUAGUGUUAUUUGCCACAAGCUAGGAAGCUUGAUAAGAACUUGUUAAUGGUGACCACAACCAACCUAGGGUUUUUAGGAUAAGUGCUCUCAACUAAAACAACUUAGAUCUAAUCAAAAUUCAACUUAACUUUAUUAAUGACUAUUCAAUUACAUAAUUAGGCAAUCUGAAUGUCUUGGGCUAAAAUAAAAGACUAAGUCCUAAUUAACUUGCAUAAUGAAAAUCCUAAUUAAAACAUAGGCUAAAAAUAGAAAUGAAAUAAUAAUAUAACUCCAAAUUAAAUCAUGUAAAUGGUUGAAUUGUGGUGGAUUGCUCCUAUUUUUAAGGGAUUUGAAUCUGAUCCAAUUUUAGUUGAUAGGAAAUAGAUUAUCUCCUCAACAAACCAUAUUGAAGAUAUCUUUCCCUUUUUAGUUUUGAUAUAUCCCUUUUGGCCGACCGAAAUGAUGAUAGCUUUCCCUUGAAUUUCUCUAACCGUAUUGCUUGAAGAUAGACUAGAUUUGACCAAUUUGAAAUAGGCAAAUCUUUUCCCAACUGUGUGGAUUGAUUCCAAUCUGAUUUAGUCAUAGAUAUUUCACUAAAGCUCCUUCCUUAUCUCUAGGCCUUGUCAUUCCAUCAUUGUUGUAACUAGUUACCCUUGAACCUAAGUGAAGUACUUGGUCAUGAAUCUGGACCAUGUUAUAUAUGAAUCCCAACCCACAUUACAUAAAUUAAAUACUAACAUUUUUGACAUUAAAUAAACUAAACUUCUAAGACUAUAUGAGAAUGCAAUCUCAUUUAUUUGAUUCAAUGGAAAUAAAAUAAACUAAGUAGAAAGUGACCUACGGACAUAAAUGCCCUUCUCACAUACCCUAUCAUGGGUCAAUUGUAUCCUUUGAGACUUUAAGGACCCUUGUCUUGGCCUUGGUCCUAGUUGUAGGACAAUCAUGACUUCUCUUACUCUUGGGAUCAAAGGCUACCCUAGGAGGGUUUACAUCAUCCCUUUCGCCCUUCAAGUGAAUUCGUCCUUGAAUUUCCUUCAUUCUUAUCAUUCUUUCUAUCCUUGCCAUGAUCUUUCAAAGAAUGGCUAAGUAUAGAAAAAUUUUCAGCCUUGGAAGUAGGAACAAUGUAAAGUGUAGGUUCGGCCAUGAACUUGACUUUUGCCUCACUAUCCUUCUUUUCUUCUUCAAUCUUAGCCCUUAGUCUCUUUUGGUCUUCAUUGACUUGUUUAGGACUCAGAGGGGCUAACGCUACCAUGUGACCAUGAUGUAUAAAUGAGACUUUGUUCAACUAUAUAUAUAUUUAUUAGAAAAUAACACAACUAACAAACGUUUUAUAUAACAAGAUCUAAGUUUUGUUUGACUAUAUAUUUAUUAUAUCAACAAAAUCUACAAACCAUUUAACCAAUUCAGGAGAUGAUGUUUAUGAAUGAUUGAUAAUCUUCUUGAGUAGGUGGAGAAAUCAAGUAUGUGUUACAGAAAAUAGAAUCAAUUGAUGAGGCAAACUUGGGAUAUAACUACAACAUAGUUGGGAGAGUUGGGUUGCCAGACACAGUAGAGAAGAUAUCUAUUGAAACCAAAUUUUUUGAAGGACCCAAUGGAGGAUAAGUUGGAAAGGUCACUACUAACAUUCUAACCAAAUGAGAUGUUCAACCCAAGGAAGAAGAGGGCAAGGUUUCCAAGGCAAGAGGCACUACGCCAGAAUAGCAAAACAACAGCGCUUAAAAUUGUCAUUUAACAAUGCUUUUGAGGCAUUUUCUAUGUGAGUGCAGUAGUACGUAAGGUUAUAUUCAAUAGCGUUUUUUGAAGCGCUCUAGAAAGUAGACAUUUAACAGCACUCACUGAAGCACUCACGGAAGCAUGUAUUAUUUUCUACUUUCUAAAUAAGACAAUAUCUCUCAGAUAUUCUAUCAAACACAUGACAAUCAUGUCCAACUCCACCAUAUUUACAAUAGAUUUGUGAAAUCACCAACGACUCAAGCUACAUUCGACCUUGACAUAUUCCAAUACUAUAAAAUAACAUAUUAGUAAUGAGAUCUUACGCAAAUUGUUCAUUCUUUCUCCUCUGAUGUGCAAGUCCUUACAGAGUAUUCAUGUGUUCCUUAAUGAUCAAUGCAAGUUGCAAAUACAAAUAAAAAAUAUCAUCUCUAAACAAAUUGCAAAACUUACCCAAAAAAUACAAAAUUAGCAGCAAUUGAUAAAGAAUAUUUACCAUUACAUUCAAACCUUGUGUUCUAAACCAGUGAACAAUAACCAAAAUCCUAGAACAUCAUAGCUGCAUAACUUCACAACAAAUAAAGACUUAUUAUUUAUGGUGUAAAUGCAAACAUCAAGACUGAAUCAAAAAGAAAUAAAUGAGCUAAAAUAAGAUAAUGAUUUACCUUAUGCGUGAAGAGAAAAAACCAAAAAUCGAUAACUUGUUUGAAGAGAGAAACUAAAAACAAAAGAGAAAAAAAUGUCAUGAAGAAGAAGAAAAGUAAGAGAAAUAAUAAACUGAUUGAUAUGUGUAUUAUUAUAUGUGAGGUUUUGUUUUUGAAUUUAAAAAAAUUCAAGCUUACUAAAGGUGUUAUCUUUAACCGCGUUUUCUUCAAUAAGCAAUGUUAAAGGUGUUAUCUUUAACAACACAUGUUUAAGCAAGUGGUGUUAAAUGUAUUAUUUUUAACAUUGCUUAUUGAAGAAGUGUUGUUAAAUAUAUGAAGUAUCGUCUUUAACAGCGCUUUCUUCAAUAAGAGUUGUUAAAGAUAACGCACUUUAACAUCGUUUAUUGAAGAAGUGUUGUUAAAUAUAUGAAGUAUCGUCUUUAACAAUGUUUUUUUCAAUAAGCAUUGUUAAAGAUAACACACCUUUAACAGUGCUUGCUUAAAUAAGCGCAGUUAAAGAUAACACCUUUAACAAUGCUUAUUGGAGAAGUGUUGUUAAAUAUAUGAAGUAUGAUCUUUAACAAAUCUUUCUUUAAUAAGCGUUGUUAAAGAUAACACAUUCAACAUCGCUUUCUUCAAUGAGCGUUGUUAAUUCUUUUCCGCCUUAUAUUUAACAAAGUUCACACAUAAGCAUUGUUAAAUGUACAUUGUUAAAUACCAAUUAUAGCAUAGUGAGGUGAUAUUUUUUUCAAGGCCAUUAAGAGUUACCUUUCUGCCCAUCCUGAGUACAACUAAAUUGAAUUCUAUAACUGAAGAAGAGCUUCCUUAUAUAAAGUUGCCUUCCAUGUUAUACAUCUUGUGCUUUUAAGUUUGCCUCCUAUGUAAUGAUUAAUGAGUGUUCUUCUAUUCUCUUUCCUUUUUUAUGCAAAAGUGUGAGAUUAUAUGAGUUUGUAUUUCAUUUCAUCAAUAAAUUAAG
Molecule: long non-coding RNA, 51088 nt
Filed under: Lupinus angustifolius (narrow-leaved blue lupine)
Lineage: Eukaryota; Viridiplantae; Streptophyta; Magnoliopsida; Fabales; Fabaceae
Description: long non-coding RNA (LANG_LNC000136)
Source: RNAcentral